GUUACUGGAGAGCUUAGAUGGCUUGCAUUGCUCAAUUUAUCUCAUAAUAGUCUCACAGGACCUAUCCCAUCAUUGCUGAGAAAAAUGAAAGAACUCCAAUCUUUAGAUUUGUCCUCAAAUCAACUGACAGGGGCUAUUCCACCUCAGUUAACUGCAUUGACAUUACUUUUCUCUUUAUAUCCUUUCCUUUUGUAUGUACCUAUGCUAAUUAUCUGAUUAUCAAAAUUAUAACAAAGCUUCAAGAUUUUUAACAGGUGAGCUUCCACUAAAAAUUUGCAAAGUCACUUCCCUUUCGCGUCUCAUUAUGUCAGAUAAUGGGUCAAGUGGUGCACAUCCACAGUGUUUGGGGAACCUUUCUUUGCUUGGUUUCAAUAAUCUUGCUAAUUAUCAAUUUCAAGGACCAAUACCAACGACUGUCCAAGACUUGUCUGUGCAUAUCUAAACAUCCAUAACAAUCACUUUGAAGGUUUGUUGCUGCAAUCUUUGACAAACUGUAAACACUUACAAAUUCUUGAUAUUGGAAACAACAAAAUAGGUGGUACAUUUCGGUCAUGGCUAUUUAUUUUGGAGAGCUAGAUGUCCUAGUUAGGGCGGUAAUUCAACUAGAGCAAACCGAGUUUUGAGCGGAGCCAAAUUCGAGCCAAGUUUAAUCGAGUCAAGCCGAGUCGGCUCGUUUAGCUAAUCGAGCCUAAAACUCUGCCCGAACUCGACUCGUUUAAUUUCACGAACGAGUCAAGCGAGUGAGCUCGUAUAAUUUUAACUUAAUCGAGCCUAAAUCUCUACCCGAACUAUUGGCUCGUGUAAUUUCGCGAGUAGAAUCGAGCCGGCUCGUUUUAUUAUAGAAGCCGAAAUUUUUGCCCGAAUUUGGCUUGUUUAACAAGCCGAUCUUUCAUCAAAAAUUUCAAACAUUUCUGAAUAUGUAUUUUCAGAGAAUUUCUCCAGCACUCUUAAGGCCUAUAAUUAUUGCAACUCUCACGUUAUGGACCACUGUGUAUUUUACAAGCACGACGAAUCAUGUUGUCAUUAUGGACUCCCCAAGCCUUAGAGGACUCAUUCCAGGUCUUAGGAGGACCACUGCCUAGCUCACCCUUUCGGAGUGAUGUAAAUUAUUUUCCAAACAUUAAAAAUAAAUAAUCAGAUUAAUCAAUACAAAAUUAAAGAUAUAAAAUCAGAAUAAAUCCUAAACUUUGAAUAUACAAAAAAAAUUAUAAUUGUAAAUUAUACAAUCAAAUUAAAAUUGAAUUAACUUCCCUCACACUUAAAAUUUAUAGCGAUCAAAUCAAAAUCGAAUUAACUUUCCUAUUACUAAAAUUUAGUUACAAUAUUAUUAGAUAAAGAGAAUAUAUAAUAAUCAAGGGAAAAUAGAUUUUUUUUUUUUGCCACUCAACUUAUUGUUUUUUAAGAAACUUACCACCCAACUAAUUAUUUUUUCCUUUUGCUCACUAAUGUUAGGUUUGGAUUUGUUUUUAGCCACCAACUAAGGUUCGGAUUUGAUUACUAGCAUUAUGAUAAUUUUUUUUGUCACUAAACUUAUUGUGUCUUUAGAAACUAACCACUCAACUAAUUUUUUUUUAAUUUACUCACUAAUGUUAGGUUCAGUUUUUUUUUGUCACUGAAGUUAGGUUCGGAUUUGAUUAUUAGCAUUACAUUAAUUCUGUGUAGCAUUUUUAAAAUAUGGCUCAUAAGAAUUUUACACGCAUUUUAUGACUUUUAAAAGAUGUAGUUUCAUUAAUAAUUUUAUUUUUUUCUUCCGAAUUAAAAUUUAGCGUUUGAAUUUUACACACAAAAAAUCGAAAGAAUAAGUUAUGAAAGUAUGCUUUAUAAGAGUCUUAAAAUACGUGCUAAACGGUAGAAAAAACUGUACACUAAUGACAGGUAAAUAGGGAGUAAUAAUAACAUAAAAUGAUGCACAAUCAUCGAAUUAAGUUUUCCUCUCUCUAUAUAUUUAUUUUGAAAAUUUUAAUAAGAUAAAGUUAUUAAAAUUUAUGAUAUAAAUUUAAGAGAUAUCUUAGAUUGAGUGGCAAAAAUUUAGUUGGGUGAUAAAUUUCUAAAAACACAAUAAAUUGAAUGGGAACAAAAUCUAUUUUCCCGAUAAUCAAAGUGACGAAAAAUCAAAGUCAUCUAAUAAGUCCAGAAAAAAUAUGACCAUUAGUAUAUCGGAAUAAUAUUCACACAUUUAUAUACGAGAAUAUAUGGUCCACAAGUUAGUGCACAAUGUCCAAGAAUCUUUAUUAAAGUAACACGGCAAGCAUGCAGCAUAUAAAUAAGAGUGGGCACUGGGCAGUAUGGUAUUGCAUUCAUAACCCACUUGAGGAGAAAUAUGGCACACUUCCUAAAGCCUUCUCACCUUCUUCUCUUUGUUUUCUUUCUCUCGUUACUUCAAUCCAUUCUACUAACAAGACCAGAGGGAGAAGCUCUUGUGAAAUGGAAGAAUAGCCUUGCCCCUUCUUCUUUUCUCGAUUCUUGGUCACUCACCAAUCUCGAUGAUCUUUGUAACUGGACUGGCAUUACUUGUAACUCUGCAGGUUCAGUCUCUGAGAUUAACCUUUAUGAGAAACAACUUGAUGGAAUGCUGUCCGAGUUUAGUUUCACUUCAUUUCCAAAUCUUAACAGUCUCACUCUCGCAUACAACUUCUUCUCGGGUCCAAUACCACCAGCCAUUGAGAAUUUAACACAGCUUCAAUAUCUUGAUUUAAGCAUCAAUAGUCUCGAUGGUCUCAUUCCGUUCCAGGUUAGCCAUCUUCAGAGGUUGCUCGUCUUAAACCUGUCACAGAAUGCAUUGCAAGCUCCAAAUUGGUCCCAAUUCUCUCCCAUGCCCUUUUUGUGCAGCCUCAACCUCAGUAGCAAUCCUCUUGCGUCGAAAUUCCCAAAUUUCAUAUCCAAUUCUCAUGGCCUGACUCACCUUAGCCUUGAUCAAAACGAGUUUACAGGUGAUUUAGCGCGUGAAUCAAUAUUUGCCAAUCUGCAUAAUCUUGAAGUCCUCAGUCUUGUUGGCAAUUCUUUUGAGGGGCCAUUUCUGCCAAAUAUAUUCAAGCUUUCCAAAUUAAAACGUCUCACCCUGUCAAGUAACAAAUUUUUAGGAUCAAUUCCCAAUGACAUAAGGUUGCUUUGUGAUCUUGAAUUCCUGUAUUUAGGAAACAAUUCUUUUGAAGGACCGCUUCCACCAAAUAUAUUCAAGCUUUCAAAAUUAAAACAUCUUGUUCUUUGGAGUAAUAAGUUUUCAGGUUCUGUUUCCAAUGAUAUAGGUUUGCUUUCUGCGCUUGAACUUUUGAAUCUUCACUCUAAUUUUUUUGAGGGGCCGCUUCCGCCAAAUGUAUUCAAGCUCUCUAAACUAAGGUUUCUUAACCUCUGGGGUAACAACUUUUCAGGUUCUGUUUCCAAUGAUAUAGGUUUGCUUCCGGAGCUAGAAAUCCUCAAUCUUCACUCUAAUUUUUUUGAGGGCCGCUUCCGCCAAAUAUAUUCAAGCUCUCUAAACUAAGGUUUCUUAACCUUUGGGGUAAUAACUUUUCAGGUUCUGUUUCCAAUGAUAUAGGUUUGCUUCCUGAGCUAGAAUUCCUCAAUCUUCACUCUAAUUUUUUUGAGGGUCCGCUUCCGCCAAAUGUAUUCAAGCUCUCUAAACUAAAGUUUCUUCAUCUUCGAGGUAAUAAGUUUUCAGGUUCUGUUUCCAAUGAUAUAGGUUUGCUUCCUGAGCUUGAAAUCCUCAAUCUUCGCUCUAAUUUUUUUGAGGGGCCGCUUCCGCCAAAUGUAUUCAAGCUCUCCAAACUAAGGUUUCUUUCCCUUAAGGAAAAUAAAUUUUCAGGUUCUGUUUCCAAUGAUAUAGGUUUCCUUUCUGAGCUUGAAUACCUAUAUCUUGACUAUAAUUUAUUUGAAGGAAGUAUUCCUAUUGGACUGGGACUCUUGACUAACCUCAGCUACUUAGAUCUAAGUUCCAAUAAUCUCAGUGGCUAUAUUCCAUCUGACAUUGGAAACCUGAAGCUACUAGUAUUUCUUGAUCUCAGUUCUAACCAAUUGACUGGACCGCUUUUAAAGAUCGUUUCUAAUCUCACAAAUCUUAUGAAUCUUGAUGUAAGUGAUAAUAGUCUUAGUGGAAAUAUUCAGAGUGACUUGUGGAAGAACUCUAUAUCCUUACGUUACAUUAAUUUUGCAAAUAAUUAUUUGUCUGGGAACAUUCCUAAGGAAUACAACGAUCAUCCAACUUUGGAAUACAUCAAUUUAAGUGGGAACCAUUUUACAGGUAUAUUUUUCUCUAUAUAUCUUUUCCUUUUCUCAUAUGUAACUAAGCUGGUAAUCUGAUUAUUGCAGUUUUACCAAAGUUUCAACAAUCUUGACAGGUGAGCUUCCAACAACAAUUUGCAAUGUCACUUCCCUUGCGGUUCUUGUUUUGUCAAAUAAUGGAUUAAGUGGAGCACUUCCAAAUUGUUUCGGGAAACUUGCUGAUAGAUUGCUUUCCAUUAAUCUUGCUAAUAAUCAGUUUCGAGGAACAAUACCAACUACUUUCUCCAGGAGUUGUCAGGUGAAAUAUCUAAACAUGGAUAAUAAUGAGUUUGAAGGAUUCUUGCCCCCAUCUUUGGCGAACUGUAAGCACUUGAAAAUUCUUGAUAUUGGCAAUAACAAAAUAGGUGGUCCAUUUCCGUCAUGGCUUUAUGUACUUGGAGAGAUAGAAGUCCUUGUCUUGCGAUUAAAUAAACUCUAUGGUACAAUAAGUGGAAGGAGCGUAAAAGAUCCCUUCCCCAAGUUGCGGAUUGUGGAUCAAUAGACAUCGGCUAAAAAGCGAUGUCUAUGUAAAAUCAGACCGAUGUCUUCGUGGGUGAUGAGAAAAGUAAGUGCAUUACACAUCGCUUUCUAGCCGAUGUCUAUAACCUAUUUACACAUCGUUUAAUAUGACAAUCUGAUGUAUUUUUUAACAGUAGAUACCUUCACUAUAAUUUCAGUUCCUCAUUCCUAUGCCCUCUAUAUCAUUUUAAACUUGUCACAUGCUUAAUAAAAUGAUACUUUAACAUCUUAAAACUUGUAAAAUAGAUGUAUAUGAUAACCUUUUACAUCAUGCUUUUAUAGGAAGUGAUGUGGUACCCUUCUUUUCUUUAAGAAAGCGAUGUCUUUGUUCUUGUUUUACAUCAGUGAUUUUUAUACUCUGAUAUCUAUUAUAUAGUUUAACAUCAGGCUUUUUCUUGUUAACUGAUAUGUAUUCAUUCUUAUGACAUCGCUUACUAAGUGAUGUAAAUGUUAGUUUUAAAUUGCCAUGAAUCCUCCUGUUUCUUAUGAAUCCCCCUGUUUCAUUUAAAUUUCCAACAAAUUCCAAAACAACACCAAAGCUAUACUAAUUAAACAACCAAUUACCAAUGUCUAGCCUACCAUAACAGAACUAAAACAAAACUAGCUAGCAAAACAAUACUUCCGCAAAAGCCAAAUAUAUUACCAUCAAUCAUUACCAAUCAAAUUACAUCCCACAAUCAAAGAAACUGCACAAAUCCUAAAUAUUAACCAAGCAACCAUAAUUUACAAGCAGUUCACCACGUACUCCAGCAACCAUAAUUUACCAACUACAUUUCCCUCCAUUUAUCAACAAAAUCUACUUAGCUAGCUAGUGUCACUGUCUUACAUAAACUGAACUAAUUAAAGGAAACCAAAGUUCUCCAAUAAACCAAAGGCCUGUUUAUAAGAAGGACUCGAUAUGGCUAAGUGUCUCAAACCGAACCUCGUCAAGCUCAGCCUUGGAACAAAUCACUUUUCGAUUCUUGGAUGCCCACUGAAAAAUGUAAAACAAUAACAUUGAAUUAUACCUAAAUUUAUAUGUACACCAUUUAAUUAUAUCAACAAUGGAUUAGGCAAAGAAAAAUACCCUUUUAAAAAAUGUCAUUUCAUUGUCCAUGACAAUCUCUUUCAUAUACCGCAUAAUAACAUAGCCGCAUUCAGUUCCACCGGGCUGUUUAGGACAUCCCUAUUUAACCAAAAAAAACUCAAAAUAGUAAGUAAAGUAAUGCCCCUGGUUCUAAGCAUCAGUAGCACAAAUUGUUAAAAAUAAAUACGAAAGCUUACUGUAAUAUAUUUGAAGCUUGGGGCUUUAUUUCCCCUUCCGGCCUGAACAUUGAAAGUAAUCACAGCCCUGUCAUCUUGGCAGUGUUAAUAAUGCACAUGCAUUUAUAUCUCCAUAAGAAAGAUAAUCAAUAAAAAAAUAAAUGAAAAUACCUUGAUAUUGCUUUUUCCAAGUUGGGGAAACUAGUUGAACGAGGCAGAGGAUUAAGUAUGAAAACCUCGCCACCCCAAAACAGAACCAAUACCCAAUGGAAACUAUUUUUAACAAAUAUUUAUGAAAAACACAAUUACUAUCAAAAUCAUAUAAAUUUUAUUUUCAGUCAUGUAAAAAACUAAAUAAAAGAGAUUUAUAAUAAAUAAGAAAACACUUAAGCUACUUACUUGCUAUUAUGCGGCAUCAAAAAGAGACGAUCAGGAUUACCCUCUUUAAAUCGAUUAACCAAGUUAUCUUCAAAAGAAUUGUUCAUCAAGUUCAGCGAGGCUCCAGGAUCACAAAAAGCAAAUUGAUCCUUAGUGCCAUUUUCACGAACCACGCAAUGCAAGUAUCUACAUUGUAAAUGAAAUGAAAUUAUAUAAAAUUACACGAAUAUGAAUUAUAACUAAACAACAGUCAUGAUCUAGAAGACAGUAAUUAAAAAAAGUUUACUCACGCCAUGUAUGCAGCAAUUGCUGCUUGGCCAAUCAUAUUAAACUCCAGCAAGGCGACUAUGUUUUCAUACAAGAUGAAGAUUCUUUUCUCGAUACCAAACACCUCAGCAUCACACGGGAUUUGAAUUGAGUCUCCGGAGGAUUGCAUAAAUGUUGUUGCAUGUUUAUACAACAACCGAAAGCGUUUUGGAACAUUUUUAUUGAUCUCCAUGUUAUGAAACAAGGACUGGACUUUAUCUAAAUCGGUUUUAGGUUCCUUUACUUUCCGUUUACCUUUCUGAAAAAUGAACAAAAUUAAUUUAAAACAAAAUAUAACAAAAUAUAGGGGUAACAUAUAAUAGUACAAUCCAGUACAACAAUUAUGUUAAAGUACACACCAUAGUAGGAAUAGUAGGAGGGGCAUUUGGGAAUAUGAUCAAGUCGCGGGGCCAUGAGACGUACGAGCCAACAGCUUGCUCUACUGUUUCAAUCUCACCUGGUACCGGUUUAGGAAUCUUGGCUUGUCCUUGAAUUGGGCCAUCCACUGAGACGCGAACACAUCCAGGCUCUAUCGGCACUCCAUGUAUAGAUUUGUUCAUGUUAUCAUCAUCAAACAACAAACCAAAUGCCACUUUAUUUUCUAUUGUGCCUACAGCCAACUCACAUUUUCGUGGACCGGCCUACACACAUAUAUUUAAACAAUUAUGACGAAUGCUUGAAAUAUGUUGAGCUAAAUUGAAUAAAUGUGCUAGUUAUUUUACCUUAUUCUCUGGUGGAUUAGGUUCCAAGUCAACUUCAAUCAUCUCUGGUUCCAGUUUUUUCACCACCUCUGUCUUAGCUUCUUUGACAGUGUUUGCCUCACAACUUGCUUUAUCAGAAGCAAUAGGAGAUGAAAUAUUUGCUUUGCUGAGCAAGGCCUUCAUUUCAGCCAUCUCCUGCCUUGUCUUCUCCAUUUCCAUGGCCAUCUCUUUCUUGGCUUUCUCCAGCUCCGCGUCCCUCUCUCGAUCCCUCUCCAACAACUCAGCUUUGGUGAUUCUAUUUCUUCUUCCUGGUGGUAUAUUAAAAAAAAUUGACGGGCUCACAAAGCCUCCAACUCCUCGAACCCUCCCCGAAUGUUCAGGAGUUUGUAGGGCCGUAGUCAACACAUCUCGACUCCCAGAAGGAGUGAAUUCCCCCUUACUUUGCUGCUCUAGUAAAAUAUUCUGACAUGAAAAAUAUGAACAUACAAAUCAUCAUCUAGUGAACCUCAUCAUCAAUAUUAACUUUAAUUUUACGAGCCUUUUAAUUAUAAAUACUCACAAUUCUUUUUCCUAUUUCAGCUAGGUCUGAAUCCUCAUCAUCAGCAUCAUCAGCCUCAUCAUCAUCAUCAACAUUAUCAUUAUCAUCAUCAAUUUUAAUUUUACGAGCCUUUUGCCACAUGAGAGCCCGAUCAGGUUCUUCAUCGGCAGCCAAAGUUCCUUUCUUGAUCUGAUUAAAAUCAAAAAAAAAUUAAAAAGGCCAAGAUAUGUAAAAUACAAUUAUUUAGGUUCAAUGCUUAAAAUACAACUAUUUUUAUACCUCUUCUUCCAAUAAUCCAAUGUAACCCUUUCUUGAUGUCCGGUGAGGAUAUUUUCGAUUACUCACCCUCAGCUUUUGUUUUUCACUAAAAGACUUCAAAUAUUUUAAAUAAUAUUAGAAUACUAUUUUUCAGAAUAUAAAAAGACAUUUAUAUCACAAUAAAGCAGAACAUAAAAUAUAUUUCAUACCAGAAAUUUCGAGGUAGUCCUCUCAGCAACAAAAUUUUUCCAAGCCUCCUUUCCAACAAAAGCAUACUUCUUUGGAGGCUUUCGUAAUUUCUUCUUCUGCCCAAGAUACGGCCUCACAUAAUCUCUUGUUAAAUUUGCUUUAAAAUUCCUCCACUUUGCUCCUGCAGACCUGAUCAACCCCUUCUCAAGUUGCUUAGGAACUUUAAAUGUCUCCUGCAACCAAUGUUAAUUGACAAAAUUUACAAAAUUAUACUCUAAAUGAGUAGAAGAAAAUGCAAAAUUUACAAAAUGCAUAGGAGAUUACUUAUUUUUAUACCUUCACAUCAAUCCAUAUUUUCUCCUUUAGUUCAUCAGGUACCUUUGACCAGUUAGGAUAAUCAAUCGGAAUCAUUGUCCUAGCCAACAUUCCAGUGUAGGAUUGUAGACUGUGCCUUGCAUCCCCUGUAGGAACUCCAUGUGCAUUACAUGAAACCUUUGUUUUCUUGCCCUGCGCCUUCCUCACCACCACUUUAUACAUAGCAGAAACCCCUCGGGCACCCCCACGCUUUUUCUUUGCUGUUUCAGAUGUUGUAACUGUUGCAUCCGUUUCCUCCACAGAAUUCACAUUUUCUCCCUGAGGUUCUGUUGUCAGCUCCAACCUUUUAUCUGAUGCCUCAUCCGACUUUUUGGAGUCUUCAUGGAAUUGUACUUUGGUUUUUUGCUUUUUAUUUGCCAUUUAUCUUCUUCAAUCUGAAAAUGAAACAUAUAUAAUCCAUUAGUCACAGGCAUAUAUACGAGCAAUUACAGGAUAAGCAGUUAUAAAGUUACAUAAGCCUACAUAAGCCGUUACAAAAUUGUAAAAAUGCAUAACUAAACAUUUACACAGAGUGAAAAUUACAGGAGUCUAAUUACACAGAGUAAAUUACAAAGUUGCAUCACAUAUAUUACAUGACUUGAAAUAAUGUUAUCACAGAGUAAAUUACAAAGUCUCAUCACAAAAUUAACUAUUACAUGACUUGAAAUAAUGUUAUCACUUCUUAACCCAAGUGCCCUUAAUAUUUUCUCUAAUACUUUUCUCAACAUCAUCACCGACAUCACAUGUAGGAAUUUGGCAGCAGAAUGGAGGAUUUUCCAUGGUUGUGUCUCCUAAAUCAUCAUCGUUAUACACCUCUUGGUAGUCUCGAGUUGUAGAGGUUAAUACGACGGACCACUUGGCAUCCACCGGAUCUUCAAUAUAAUAAACUUGCUUUACUUGAUCUAUAGACACGUAUUUAUCUCUCUUGUGGCCUUGUCGACUUAGAUCGACAAGUGUGAACCCAAGAUCAUCCACCUUAAUUCCCUUGUCAUUGUCCGCCCAAUUACAUAAAAACAGUGGGGCUUUGAAUGCAUGAUAAUCCAGCUCCCAUAUAUCUAGGAUAACACCAUAAAAUGUCAAGUCACUUUCUACGGGGUUUAAAUCUUUAGCGCUAGACACUUGGACAGUUUUAGCAACUAAAGACACUCCGCUGUUUUGAACUACCCUCACAUUGUCUCGCUGUUUUGUAAAGUAUCGGACCCCGUCUACUAGAUAAGCUUCGUAAGUCAUAACUGAAAAUGAUGGUUUUCCAGCUAUCCAUCUUACUGUCUCUGAAACUCCUCCAGGAUUCUCCACCAUUUCACUACUGACCUACACAUUUCAUAAACAGAAAUUAUCCUAAAUUACUAUAGAGAAAAUAAAUUAGGCACAAAUGAAACUAUAAAAAUACUAACUUUUUCUAGAAACCAAUCAGCAAAACUGUUAUUGUGCUCUCUCAAGAGCCAAUGAACGCUUUUCUUUUUCCCACGAUGGAUUUCCUCUAGAUACUCCUUAUGCAUUCUGCCAAAAAUUAUAUAUUCAUUAAAGAAGUAGUUUAUACAGAAUGUAUAUAUUAAUUGAACAGCCACAAAAUUAAAAAAAUCUUACAAGAUAUAUGGCUGUACUUCAAGGUUGUUUAGAAGAACGUGUAAAUGAGCUUCAUCCCUCUCUUUUUCUUCGAUUGAUUUCAUUACCGCAACAGAUAAUGGACCACUUAACUUGCCUUCAUCUUUGCGAAGACCAGCAGUGGUGCAAGUUUGCUUGACAAACUCUUGGCAGAAUUCAAUCGAUUCUUCUCCAAGAUAACAUUCUGCUAUACAACCUUCGGGGUAGUAACGAUUGCGUACGUAACUCUUCAACACCUUAUUAAACCUCUCAAAUGCAUACAUCCAUCUAUAGAAGACUGGCCCACAUAACCGUAAUUCCCGAACCAAGUGCACUAUGAGAUGUAUCAUUACAUCAAAAAAUGAUGCAGGAAAAAUUUUUUCUAGCUCGCACAAAGUUACUAUUACAUCUGAUUGCAAUUUAUCUAGUUUAGAUACGUCGACAACUUUGCUGCAUAAAGCAUUAAAGAAGAAACACAAUCUAAUUAUUGUGACCCUGACUUUUUUUGGAAGUACCGCGCGAAUUGCAAUAGGAAGUAAUUGUUGAAGUAGGAUGUGGCAAUCGUGGGACUUCAACCCAAACAUUUUUAAUUCUUCCAUGGAAACACAGUUUUUAAUGUUUGACGCGUGUCCAUAAGGAAGUUUCAUGUGCAUUAACGAUGACAACAUCUUCUUCUUUUCUGCCUUGGACAAAUUAAAAAUCGAAGGAGGUAAAUAGGUCUUUCUUUCUCCUUUUUGUGGAGCUAGAUCAGCCCUAACCCCCAUGUCAAUCAUGUCAAGACGAGAAGCUUCACUAUCUUUAGACUUAUGUUUCAUAUUCAGUAGUGUGCCAAUCAAGCUAUCACACACGUUUUUCUCCACGUGCAUAACAUCUAGACAAUGACGGACAUGGUGAAAUUUCCAAUACUCUAACUCGAAGAAAAUUGACUUUUUCUUCCAUGGACAGUCAACCUUCUUUGACUUCCUUACUUCUUUCCCAAACUGAAAUUCAAUUUUUUCUUGCUGCAAUAAAACCUCUUCUCCCGAAAGAGGUUGACGUGCCUGCCCUAAUUCUUGUUGUCCAUUAAAAGCAGCUUUUUGCUUCCUAUAUGGAUGAUUUCUAGCCAAGUAACGUCGAUGACCUUGGUAACACAUCUUCCUACUAUGGCUUAAAUACUUUGCAACAGUAUCAUCACCACAUAUUGGACAAGACAUAUAACCUUUAUUAACACAUCCGGACAGAUUUCCAUAUGCGGGAAAGUCGUUUAUUGUCCACAAUAAAAUUGCUUUUAAAGUGAAAUACGACUUAGUGUGUGCAUCAUAGACAUUUGGUUCACCUUCCUCCCACAACUUCUUUAAAUCAUCGAUUAGAGGCUGUAAAUAUACAUCAAGGUCAUUACCAGGCUCAUGAGGACCGGGAACUAAAACUGUUAGCAUCAUAAACUUCCUCUUCAUGCAUAACCACGGAGGAAGAUUAUAAGUCACUAGUACUACUGGCCAACAAGUGUAUCUAUUGGUUAGACCGUUAUUAUGCGGGUUUAUACCAUCUGCAGACAACGCCAAGCGAAUAUUUCUUGCCUCACUACCGAAGGCAGGCCACCUAUAGUCGAUAUUUCUCCAAGAAGGAGAGUCGGCUGGAUGCCGCAUCUUUCCAUCUUCUAUUCGCUGCUUUGCGUGCCAGGUAAUCAGUUCAGAUGUAGAAGGAGAUUUAAACAUUCGCUUCAAUCUCGGAAUAAUUGGAAAAUACCACAUUAUUUUAGCAGGAACAUUAAUCCUUACUUUACCAUCCUUUCCUAACUUCCAGCGAGAUAGACUACACUUAGGACACUUAGAAGCAUCAACAUAUACCCCCCGAUAUAGUAUGCAAUCGUUUGGACAUGAGUGGUACUUUAUGUAUUCUAGGCCUAAGUUGGAUAAUGUUUUCUUGGCUUCAUAUGCAUUAGGUGGCAUCACAUUUUCCUUAGGAAGGAGAGAGCCAACAGUAGACAAUAAAUCUGUAAAGGCGCUAUCACUAAUUCCAAACCUUGCUUUCCAAUUAUGCAGUUUUAGCAUCGACUCCAAUUUGGUACAUUCACUACCCUCAUACAAAGGCUGUUGAGCAUCAGCCACAAAUCUCCUAAACUGAUACGACUCAUUAUUGUACUCACUCGAAUUAUACGCAGCAUCACAAACAUUGACUGUUUGUGAUGCAUGACCAGGGGAAUGCAUCGAUGCAGGGUCAAGCGUAGGUGCAGGGCUAGGGGCAUUGUCAUGAACUGUUGAUCCAGUGAUUCCACACCCUUGUGUGUGCCAAAUCCAAUCAAGGUAUCCCAAACUAAAACCGUAUUCAUAUAAAUGUCCCCUAAUAAUCUUAACUGCAAAUUUUUUAAAGUUAACACAUCUUUUGCAGGGGCAUGGGAUUUUUUUAGUAUCACUAGCAUUUUCCUCGGCAAAUAUUAAAAACUCUUCAACCCCGAUUUCAUAGUCAAGUGUAUCCCUAUCUUUGAAAAUCCAAGACUUGUCCAUGUUAUUCUCAAACUACCUGAUUGUCAAAUAUGAUAUCAAAUUACAUGGUAACAAAGAUCCAAACACAAUAUACAAUUACAUUUACAAACUAAACAAACACAAAUAUAUUUACACAGCUGUGCAUAAAACAUAAAAAACAAAUCCCAAGCUCUAAACAUAUAUAACACAGUACAUAAAAAAGAAACCCCAAGCUCCAAACAUAUAUAAAACAUAUAUACAACUACACGUUUAAUUUUCACAUGCAUACAUAUAACUACAAAAAGUUAUACUUGCAACCGAAACAUUUAUAUAAAUAUAAAGAAGAAUAUAGAAGAAUAUAUAUACCUAAAACCCAGCAGCUUCGAAACCCAGCACCUCCAAAAUCCAGCAGCUAUCCAGCAGCUUCGAAAACCCAGCAACUACCCUAAUCUCCAAGCUUCAAAUCUCCAAGCUUCAAAGAACCCUAAUCUCCAAGCUCCACUCGACCCUAAGCUUGAAGAUCGAACCUUAAGCUUGAACACAGCAGCUUCGAAUCGCGCACAAAUCGCACCUAGGGUUUAGAAGAGAGGGAAUCAGUUAAUAGAACAUUUGAAAGGGGGUUUAGAAGAGAGGGAAUCAGUUAUUAAACCAAGAACGAGGAUUGAAGGACUGAAGGAUUGAAGAAAAUCGCAUACCUAGGUUUAGCUGUCGAGAGAAAGGGGGAAGAGCUGCUGUCUGAAAGAAAUAUGUAUAUAUGUCCCGAUUGUUUUCUUUUGAAUGCUUUUGUUUUAAUUUUGAUUUAUUUUUAAUGUUUUUUUAUUGUUUUAUACUGAGGCGGGAGUGAAUGAUAUGUUAAAGGGGGGGAAAACAGUAGGGGGAACUAAUUAAAAAAUUGACUAAGGGCGGGGGAGCGGAGGGCGCGGGCUUUAAUAUUUUUAAAAUUGAGAUUAGACAUCGCUUAAUAAACAAUGUGAUGUGAAAAAAUUUUAAAGUGAGAGCUUAGACAUCACUUAUGUUAAGGACUGAUGUAAAGAUACCAGAAAGACAUCACAUAUAAAACGAGCGAUGUAAAAAAGGCAUUUUACAUCGGUGACACUUCCGACUGAUGUCUAAUGUGCGAUGUCUAUUGACGAAUUUCUAGUAGUCUCCAAAGGAUAUUUAUCUUUCCAUCAUGAUGCAGCAGUCUCCUUAACUGUGAAGGGAACGGAGUAUGAGGUAGCAAAGAACCUUCAUAUUUACACAGCCAUUGAUCUGUCGGGCACCUAAUUUCAGGGUCGAAUUCCAAACGUCACUGGAGAGCUUAGAUGGCUUGCAUUGCUCAAUUUAUCGCAUAAUAGUUUAACAGGACCUAUCCCAUCAUUGCUGAGAAAUAUGAAAGAACUCCAAUCUUUAGAUUUGUCCUCAAAUCGACUGACAGGGGCUAUUCCACCUCAGCUAACUGCAUUGACAUUUCUAGAGGUCUUGAACCUCUCGAAAAACCAUCUUAGUGGAGAGAUUCCUCAGAAAGGACAGUUCAGCACAUUCAACAAUGAUUCUUAUCUAGGAAACUCCGCGUUAUGUGGAUCACCUUUGACGAAGAAAUGUGCAAACACAGCAUCACCUCCACAAGAAGUCGGAAAUGGUGAUGAAGAUGAUGCUGGAGAUGAAUUGACAUGGGAAGCAAUCGUGAUGGGAUAUGGAUGUGGACUGAUAUGUGGAUUGUCAUCUGCGUACAUUGUUCUCAAACUAGGAAAGCCUUGGUGGUUUGUGAGAUAUAUCGAAGUACUGCAACUGAAGUUGAUGAAAAGAUAUGCAUGAAGAAUGGUACUGCACUACAACAAAAACAGCAUCACACAACGGUUUUUGCCCGUUGUCUGAUACCCAAGAAAACCGUGGUCUAUUGCGAUGCCGUCUGAUACGCGCCUCAGACAACGUUUUAUUAGUUAAAGGCUUGUCUAUAAGGCCAUGCUACGAUGGUAACAAAAACACUUGUAUGUUAGCUUCCUGGUCACACAACACUGUAUGGAACCCUUGUUUAAACGGCUCGUAAACAACACAACAAAUAAAACACUUGUCUAAUUACAACAACGGUUUCUUGAAAUAUUGUCUGAAGUUUCUUCACACAUCGGCUCUAAAAACAGUUGUCUAACGUGCAUCAUUACACAAUAUCACAGUUAAGAUACCGUUGUCUGAUUGAAUUUACUAGACAACACUUUUUAAACCGUUGUAGGUUGUAGGUGUUGGACAAUAGUUUUUCGAGGACGAAAAUAAAGUGUUGUGUCUUUGUUUCGGCCAACACUUUUUCCAGCGUCCGUUGUCUGACUAGUGUCGUGUGAUGCCAGUUUUGUUGUAGUGCUGGUUGAUCCAGACGAACUAGAAAGUUGUUGUCCUGGUAGACAUUUCUGAACCAUUUGUGUCCUGGCUGAAUAAGUAUUUGGUAUUAUGUAAUAAUCCGUUUGGUUGGGACUCAAAAUGAUUUCUCUUGCUUCAGGGGUAUUAAUAUUAACCUUCCUAUCUUGAUCAAUGUUAAAUCAAAUUAAAUGAAUGAAAAAACAAAAAGUAUGCAUCAAAUCCGCUCCUGCUGUACCUAACAAUUUAACAGCACCCUUCCACACUGUUCAUACCUAAUUUGCGUGUAAUAUGAAAACUAAGAGGCAUGGCUUUUGUCUUUGAGAGAACUUAUUCCAAGUCUUCUUCGGAGGCCUACUGCCUCAACAACCUUUCAAAGACUAUGCAAUAAUCCACGUGACAGAAAAACCAAAGUCCAAUUAGUAUUAUAAGUUCAUAAAAAAUACUAUAGGAUCAUUAGCAUUAGCAUUACAUUAGCAUACAGCAUAUAUAUAAAUAGAAGAAUGCAGUGUGGUAUUGGAUUCAUAAUCCAAUUGAGCAGAAACAUGGCACACUUUGUAAAGCCUUAUGACCUUCUUCUCUGUGUUUUCUUUCUCUCAUCACUUGAAUCCAUUCUUGCAACAAGACGAGAAGGAGAAGCUCUUGUGAAAUGGAAGAACAGCCUAGCCCCGUCUUCUUCUCUUGAUUCUUGGUCACUCACUCAUCUCGAUAAUCUUUGUAACUGGACUGGCAUUACUUGUAACUCUGCAGGUUCAGUCUCUGACAUUAACCUUUUCAACAAACAACUCACUGGAAAGCUUUUCGAGUUUGGUUUCACUUCAUUUCCGAAUCUCAACAAUCUCACCCUCGCAGAUAACUUCUUCUCUGGUCCAAUACCAUCAGCCAUUGGGAAUUUAACACAGCUUCAAUAUCUUGAUUUGAGCAAUAAUUAUCUCAAUGGUUCCAUUCCGUACCAGGUUAGCCAUCUUUCAAAAUUACACGUCUUAAACCUGUCAGAGAAUGAACUGCAAGCUCCAAAUUGGUCCAAUUUCUCCCCCAUGCCUUAUUUGACCAUCCUCGACCUUUAUCAGAAUAAUCUUAUGUUGGAAUUUCCAGAAUUUAUAUCUAACUCGCGUAACCUGACAUACCUUGACCUUUCAUAUAACAAGUUCACAGGCGAUCUUGUGCGCGAAUCAGUAUUAGCCAAUCCAGGUGAUCUCGAAACCCUCUAUCUUAAUGAAAAUUCUUUUGGGGGGCCAUUUCCACCAGACAUAUUCAAACUUUCCAAGUUGAGAGUUCUUGCCCUGUUCAAUAAUCUUUUUGAGGGGCCGCUUCCGUCAAAUAUAUUCAAGCUCUCUAAACUAAGAUUCCUUUUACUUUGGAGUAAUAAUUUUUCAGGUACUCUUUCGAAUGAAAUAGGUUUGCUUUCUGAGCUUGAAGACCUAGAUCUUCACUCCAAUUUUUUUGUGGGGCCGCUUCCGCCAAAUAUAUUCAAGCUCUCUAAACUAAGAACCCUUUUCCUCUUGGGUAAUAACUUCUCAGGUUCUAUUUCCAACGACAUAGGUUUGCUUUCUGAGCUUGAACACCUAUAUCUCGACUCCAAUUCUUUUGAGGGACCUUUUCCAACAAAUAUUUUCAAGCUUUCCAAAUUAAUACAACUUGGUCUCGCAAACAAUACAAAUUUAUUUGAAGGAAGUAUUCCUCCAGGACUGGGGCUCUUGACUAACCUAGAGGACUUGUCUCUUGCUUACAAUAAUCUUGGUGGCUAUAUUCCGUCUUCCUUUGGAAACCUAACACUACUAGUAUAUCUUAAUCUCGCUCGUAAUCAAUUGGUUGGAACACUAUCAAAGACCAUUUCUAAUCUCACAAAUCUAUGGUUUCUUGAUGUACAUCAUAAUAGUCUCUCUGGGAAUAUUCAGAGUGACUUCUGGAAAAACUCUACAUCACUGCGUUACAUUAAUUUGGCAGACAAUAAUUUUUCUGGGAACAUUCCUAAGGAAUAUAAUGUUCUUCCAAUCCUGGAUCACAUCAAUUUUAGGGGGAACAAUUUUACAGGUAUUUUUCUUUCCAUAUUUUUUCCUUCUGUUGUAUUCAAUUAUGCUAGAAACUACAGCCUCUGUUUUUUCAAAUACAUAUCGUUUAACUUUUUGGCACAAAACUUUAUAAUAAUUCUAACUAAAAGGUCAAUGAACUCAAAAAUGUGUGUCAAAAAGUCAAACGUCAUUUAUCUGAAAUCAGAGGGAGUAUAUAUUACUGUUUUACCAAAGUUUCAACAAUCAUGACAGGUGAGCUUCCACCAACAAUUUGCGAUGCCACUUCCCUUUCGAUUCUUGAUCUGUCAAAUAAUGGAUUUAGUGGUGCAGUUCCACAUUGUUUGGGGAAUCUUGCGGAUAAAUUGAUUUCGAUUAAUCUUGCUAAUAAUCAGUUUCAAGGACCAAUACCAACAAAUUUCUCCGAGAGUUGUCGUCUGACGUAUCUUAACAUCUAUAACAAUCACUUCAAAGGUUUGGUUCCCCAAUCUUUGGCAAACUGUAAGCACUUGCAAAUUCUUGAUUUUGGAAAAAAUGAAAUAGGUGGAACACUUCCGUCAUGGUUUUUUACUCUUGGAGAGCUAGAAGUCCUGAUCCUGCGAUCAAACAGAUUUUUCGGGAGAAUAACUAGAAGGAGCAUACCACGCCCCUUUCCCAAGUUGCGGAUUUUGGAUCUAUCCAACAAUCAGUUCACCGGCUAUCUGCCAAUUUUAUACUUCAAGAAUAUGAAACCAAAUGAUAAUAAUUAUGAUUAUUUCAACAACACAAACGAAGCCUAUUACGUUUAUCAAGUUUCUAUCACAUUAAAUGUGAAAGGAAGCGAGCAUGAAGUGACAAAUAUUCUUCAUAUUUACACGGCCAUUGAUCUGUCGUGCAACAAAUUUGAAGGAAAAGUUCCAGACAUUACCGGAGAGCUUAGAUGGCUUGCAUUGCUAAAUUUAUCUCAUAAUAGUCUUUCGGGGCCUAUUCCAUCACAACUGGGAAAAAUGAAAGAGCUCCAGUCUCUAGAUUUGUCGUCAAAUCAAUUGACAGGUGUUAUUCCGGAUCAACUUACUAGUAUGACAUUUCUUGCUAGUUUGAACCUCUCAGAAAACCAUCUUUCUGGGAAAAUCCCUCGGAAAGGACAGUUCAGCACUUUUGGCGAAGAAUCUUACUUAGGUAAAUCGGCCUUGUGUGGAGUUCCUUUGACAAAGAACUGUAUAGACGAUGUGCCACCUUCACAAGUUGGAAAUGGCAAUGAUGAAAAUGUUGAUGAAGAUGAUACCGUUGAUGAAUUCAAUUGGAAAGUGAUCCUGAUGGGAUAUGCAUGUGGAUUAAUAGGCGGAUUGUCUGCAGGAUACAUUGUCUUCACAGUCGGAAAGCCUUGGUGGUUUUUGAGAUACAUUGAGACACUGCAGCAGAAGUUGAUCUGAUGCGCAACUAGAAACAACGUUAUAAUCUUAGAAUGACUUGUGUCUUUAAACAGAGUUAGGAACUUAGGAUGACUUGUGGUGCUAUAUUUUUUUUUUGAAAAAAAAAAACAUAUUUUUGUAAUUUUUUAGAUACAGAUGUUAAGAAGGUGUUGUAUAUUCAUUUUUUACCCAAAAAAAAAAAGAGGGCUUAUUUCAUGAAAAUUAGAGUUUUAUGUAUUUUCUCCAGAAAUUAGUCCUUAUUUCUGAAAAUAAGGUUAGUCAAAACGGUCACUACACGAUUGGUAGCCUUUCAGUUCUUCCUAGUGUCCACUACAGUUUCAUUCCUUACCAGUUAUUUUAUGCUCUGCACUGCAUUAUGCAGCUUUCAUAUUACUGACAGCUAAUCUCCUUCCAACACUUUGCGAUGCGAAGCAGGGACGCAUAAGUAUUUUUAUAUGUGUAUUAGUUUUGAAGAUUAAAGUUGCAUGGACAAUUGUGUUGAUAAUUUGAGCAAUGUUAACCGGGAUAGGUCUUCUUCUCUCUCCCAAGUCUUCUGAGGACUCAUCGGCUCAGAUUAGUCUAUCCAAAAAUUAUGAUCUGACGGCUAUUGGCACACUAACGAUUUACAUAUCACUUGAAUAUUACUGGAUACCCGCAUCUUGUUUUAAAUGGCGUAUAUCGGCUAAUAGUUCAACGAUGGUGACAAAUCCCGGUGAUCCAAAUAAUUGAUUGUCGCAAAAUUUUCCGCUUACAUCCAACUAACACGUAUUAGGAAAAAAAAUUAUAUAAUUAAACACGCUCAUGUAUCUAUAUCUUUUACAAGAUUGUAAGUCCCCAAUUCUAUGUGAUAUUAGCUAUAUGUGACUAGAAGGUUUAGAAAUACUAGAUUAUCAAGAUUUCUUUUUAUUCUAGCUAGUGUUGAGUUAUAUUUAUUUUCUUCAAACAAUCAAUACUUAUUUUUUAUUAAUAUGUGAAACUCCAAUAUAUAUUAUUAUACGAUAUAUUAUGAAAACACUAUAUUUUGUAAUGUUCAUCUUAUCCUACCAGCAAAAUUACAUCGCUAACAAAAUUAUAUCAAUUUUAUUUUAUAAACUCAAAUAAUUUAAUUUAUGAAACAACUCUAUGAGAUUCUUAUCAUGAGUUAGAAUUCAAAUAAAUAAAGAGUUCAUAUUGAUAAGUGGAAUUGAUGUGCAAGUAAGGGGUAUAAAAAAAUCUCAAAAUAACUCCAAAAAGCACAUGACAUGUUUGAUUUAAUAGAACUGGUACAUAAACAGGGGGACCAUUAUAUUUAUAAGCAAGUGACCAACAAUAGUUUACUACUGAUAUUUUGUGAUAUUUUUUGUGAUAUUUUUUGAGACCUUUAACAUUAUUCUGUGAAGUGGUAUACUACUGUUACUAGUUCUGAAACUUCAAACAAAGUAGGCGCAACAUUGUAAGAGUGAUUAAUAAAGUUGAGAAACAGUGUGUACAUUGAGCAGUAUGACAAUCAGGUUCAGCAUAUAAUACAAUCAGAUUCACAAUCAGGUUCACGAGAAACAUGCUGCAUUCCAAAAAGCCUUAUUAUCUUCUUCACUAAAUAACAAGGCAAAUACAGCAUAUAAAUACAAGUUAUAAGUACAAGUGUGGUAUUAGAUUCAUAACCCAGUUGAGGAGAAACAUGGCACACUUUGUAAGGCCUUCUCACCUUCUUCUCUUUGUUUUCUUUCUCUCAUCACUAGAAUCCAUUCUUGCAACAAGACGAGAGGGGGAAGCUCUUGUGAAGUGGAAGAAUAGCCUAGCCCCUUCUUCUUUUCUCCACUCUUGGUCACUCUCCAAUCUCGAAAAUCUUUGCAACUGGACUGGCAUUACUUGUAACUCUGCAGGUUCAGUCUCUGAGAUUGACCUUUGUGAGAAACAACUUGAUGGAAUGCUGUCCGAGUUUGGUCUCACUUCAUUUCCAAAUCUCAACAAUCUCACCCUCGCAGACAACUUCUUCUCAGGUCCAAUACCACCAGCCAUUGAGAAUUUAACACAGCUUCAAUAUCUUGAUUUAAGCAUGAAAAGUCUUAAUGGUCCCAUUCCGUUCCAGGUUAGCCAUCGUCAGAGCUUGCUCAUCUUAGACCUGUCACAGAAUGCAUUGCAAGCUUCAAAUUGGUCCAAUUUCUCUCCCAUGCCUCAGUUGCGCUUCCUCAAGCUCAGUAGCAAUCAUCUUGUGUCGAAAUUCCCAAAUUUUAUAUCCAGUUCUCAUAGCCUGACUUACCUCAACCUCUCAUAUAACAUUGGAAACCUCAAAAAAUAUAUAUUUAUAUAUUUAUAAUUAAAAAAUUGAAUUACUUAAUAUAUUAAAAAAUUGAAUAAAAUUUUAUAUAUUUUAUUAAAAAAUUGAAUAAAAAUUGAAUAAAAUUGAAUAAAAUUGAAGUACACGAAAAGGUACACGACACGAAAUACACGACUGAGAAGUCGUGUCGGUUUUGUGUUUACCCUUCGGGUACACGACACGAGGUACACGAAAUAAAUAAAUAAAUAUAUAUAUAUAUAUUUACCCUUCGGAUUAAGAGUUGGUCGCGGACAAAUUCAAAGUUUCCCAAUUAUCCUUUAUUUUAUGUAACUUUGCUUAUGUUUAAGCCUAAAUUUGGACAAUAUUUGUAAAAUAUUAAUAUUUCGUGUACUAAUUCGUUACCAGUUUCGUGUAUUUUUUCGUGUAUAUUUCGUGUUUUCGUGUUUUCAUGUACUAUUUCGUAUCGUGUCGUUUUCGUGUACAUGAAAAAAUUCGUGUACUACAGUUCGUGUCGUUUUUACCUGUUUCUAAAUCGUGUCGUGUUCGUGUUUACAAUCGUGUACACGAAUUGAAUUCGUGUCGUGUUCGUGUAUACCCACCAGAUACACGAAACACGAAAGUACACGACACGUUUAUACACGACACGAACGAUUUGCCAGGUCUANGAAACACGAAAGUACACGACACGUUUAUACAUGACACGAACGAUUUGCCAGGUCUAUUCAAACCUAGCAAGUAACCAAGAGGGGGCAAACUCCACCAGAGACAAAUCAAAGACCAUACCUGAGUAUUGCCAACAUAACAUUACAAACUGGCAGGUGAAAAAUAUGUGAAUAAGGUCUUCGUCACCAGAGUUACACAUGGGACAGUCAAGAGAAAGAUUUACUCCCUUAGAUUGUAAUCGACUUUUCACAGGCACAUUAUUCCUGCAAAAACGCCAUAAAAACACUUUGAUCUUAAGAGGAACCUCCAACUGCCAGAGUUUCUUCCACCCACUAGAUUGUGUAACAGUGCCAGUGCCAAUAUUUUGGGCAUGCCAAAACUGGUAACCUGUUUUCACAGAAUUUUGGCCGUUAGUAGUCUUUGACCAAGCUAGAUGAUCCACGGUCGACCUAUAGGGAACAGAAGUUUUUAAAAAUUAUGUAAUUCAUUCAAUUCCGUAUCAGACAAUACAUCUUAUCAUCGGUGAUAAUGGAAAUAGUGUAGAUGUUUGACCUAGUCCAUGUUUGACAACCAAUAUAAUAAGAAAUAAAUUCUUAUUUUUCUAAAAAAUAUAUUUUUGUAUAUAAAUGUUAAAGAGAUAUUUCUUAUUUGUUGUUUGAAAAAAGUAAAGACUUAUUUCAGAAUAAAUAAAAAUUAUUGUACAUUCUCUUUAUUUUUAAAAAUAAGUUUGGUCAAAUCGCCCAUAAUUCUCGUAAUUCAAAAGCCCAUUAUUUUUUUUUUUCUUGCUAAUUGAUCAGCACACGCACACGUUUCCAACUUCCCGCAAAGGGUACCGGAGUACCACCACACCGACGCUUUGUUGGGCCCAAUAAUUGGCUGAAGUUGAACGGGGCUUUCUGCCUCCGCUGGACCCCAGUUGGGAGGACUCUUUCCAAGUCUUUCGGAGACUCUUUCCCAUUGACUCCAACUUUCCAGGGUGUAUACAAAUUUUUUGAAAGAGGGUGUAUACAAAUUAUUCACGGCCAUCAAAUUAACCAGCGUAGCUGGUGAACAAAUAUUAUUGUUUAUUAUAAUUUUAUUUAAUUUAAAUGUGAUUAUAAAGAACAUAAGAGGACGUUUGAAAGUGUGGGUCUUAUUUCAAACAGUAGAUUUCAAAAAAUAUGAUUUCAAUUGUUAUUUAAAAUUCUUAAAUUUAUAUUAUAUUAAAAUGUUCUUAUCUAUACUAUACUAUUAAAACCGAAACAUUAAAAGUUUGGUCGGUCGGUACUUGGGCCGAUAUAUGGGCCUAUCUAUAUAACUAAUUAUUUUUUUUUAAUUUUGGGCCGAAAUACAGGCCUGUCUAUAUAAUCAAUUAUUCUUUUUAACUAAAAUAUGUUAUCUUUUUUACUAUUAAAGCCAAAACAUUAAAAAUUUGAUCGGUCGGUACUUGGGCCGAAAUAUGAGCGUAUCUAUAUAACUAAUUAUUUUUAUUUUUUUUUAUUUUUGGCCGAAAUACAGGCCUAUCUAUAAAAUCAAUUAUUCUUUUUAACUAAAAUAUGUUAAUUUUUUUUACUAUUAAAGCCGAAAUAUUGAAAGUUUGGUCGGUCGGUACUUGGGCUUCUAGGCCGAAAUAUAGGCCUAUCUAUAUCAUCAAUUAUUCUUUUAAACUAAAAUAUGUUAUCUUUUUUACUAUUAAAAUCGAAACAUUGAAAGUUUGAUCGGUCGGUACUUGAGUCGAAAUACGGGCCUAUCUAUAUAACUACUUAUUAUUUUUAACUUGGGCCGAAAUACAGGCCAAUCUAUGUAAUCAAUUACGCGGUAUUCUUUUUAACUAAAAUAUGUUAUUUUUUUAACUAUUAAAGUUGAAAUAUUGAAAGUUUAGUCGCUCGAUACUUGAGCCGAAAUACGGAUCUAUCUAAAUAACUAAUUAAUUUUUUUUAACUUUGGAUGGAAAUACAGCCCUAUCUAUAUAAACAAAUAUCUUUUUAACUAAAAUAUGUUAUCUUCUUUAUACUUUCUAACUAAAAACUCAAUCUUCUAAAUGAACAUGGAAGAAUAUAGUAAUUAUCUUUUUAACUAAAACAAAUUAUCGUCUAUUAAAUCAAAUUAUAACAAACUAUCCAUAAACAUCCUUAAUUUAUAACAAAUUAUUAAAUAUUUUUUAUCAUCUACUAAAUCAAAACAUUAAAAAUUAGAUUACCAUUAUGGAUCAGUAUUUGAAUUACGCUUCUCUUUAACUUAUAAUAUGUUUUAUACUAUAUUAUUAACUAUUAAUAACUAAAUAUUAAAACGCUGAUUGGGUUGUUUCUAUCUGGGUUUACGGGUCUCCUCAAAUUAUAAUCCCUCCGUUCUUAAAUAUCUGCCUUUUGACUUUUUGGCACGCAUGUUAAAGUGUUUUGAAUUUAUAGUAAAAAUAUUAUUUUUAAAUUUCUUUUUCUGAAUAAAAAUUUUAUAUCAAUACUUUUAUUCAUAAAAAGAAAUAUUUGAAAAUAACAUUUCUAGCUAUGUGGUCAAAAUAUCUUAAAAUGUGUGCGAAAAAGUCAAAAGGCAUAUAUUCAAGAACGGAGGGAGUAACAUGUAAAAAAAAUUAUUUUAACAUUAUCAUUAAAAAAUUAUAUAUUUGACCUAAUUAUAAAUUAACUAUUUGAAGGAAUAAACUAUUAAGAAUUUAUUUAGCUGCUAAAUAAAAGUUUUUUUAAUAACAUUAUUCUAUCACAAUUUUACUUUCAAUAAAAUUCGUUAAAUCUAAAAUAUAUGCGAUGAAAUAACAAAUAUUAAAACCGCCCGUGCAUUGCACGGGUUUUAAGCUAGUUCUAAUUAAUGAGUCACUAUUCGUAUUCUCAAGCAUGUUAGUUUGUUAAAAUUUAAAAUUUCAAAUGAAAUUAGGCUAAAAGACCAUAAUAUCAAAUCAAAAUCUCAUUAUCCAAUAUAUUGGUGGGCAAAAAUAUUAAACCUGGCUAUUCAUUAAUAUUGGUUCUUUAUUCAAAUUAUGUCAAAUUUAUAUAAAAUUUCGAAAAUUAUUUAUGAAUAAGAGUCGGCAUUCAUAUAUUUAUUAAGGAUACAAGUGAGAAAAUGUUAUUAAAUUAAUAUUUUUUAAUAUACGUAAGUUUUUUAAAAUAAAUUUGUAGCGUGGGACGGGAGUAUUAGACUGAUUCUGGCUUGGAGUGAAUCAGCCCAUAAAGUUUACAGGGUAGAUGACCAUUCUUAAAUCUUAAAGAAUCUUACGGUGACAGCUAACUGAACGACUCGGUUUCAGAAGUGCUGAAAAGUUUCGACGUAAACUACAAUUUGCCUAGCAUGUAAUUUCCAUGCAUUUUCUCGUUACGAGUAGGUUUGUCCGGAAGUACAAUUCAAAAUAGAGUGCUGUUAAAAAAAAUUGAGUUACUUAUUCAAUAACUUUUUUGAUAUUUAUAUAUUUUUAAUUAUAAUAAAGAUACUAGUGAUUAUGGUUAGCUUUUGGAGUACUUUUGGAGUACUUGGAAAUUUUCUUUUCGAGAAAAACGAGAGUACCUAUUUCAAUUUUUUACCAAAAAUUAUAAUUGAAAACAACGGACUUUUAUACUUAUCAUAACAAUUUUUAACAUCUUGUUUAGAAAUAACCUGUUGUUGUAUUAUGCAAAAGUAAUAUCACUAGUUUCUAUAUCCGUAUUCUAAUGAUAAUAAAAACAUCUCUAAUUCAUUAAAACUCUUACAUAGAAAUUGAUAAAAAAAGAAGAUAUAAAAUAAUUUAUUAAAAAUAUAUCAAAGUUUUUGCACUCGGUUAUAAUUAUUGUGUAAUUUUUUUUUUCAAUUCCAAGAUAUUGUUAUAAGAAAAUUUUACAUCAUAUAUAUAUUACAAAAAAAAUUAAUGUAUUAUAUAUAUAUAGGGUCCUACUCUGGUACAAACCUUUUUAGCGUACAAACUACAAACCAAAAUUAAAAAGUCUCUAAAUCAAAUCAGAAUAUAGCACAUAUGGUAUGGAAAUUGAUCGUUGCGAGAUGAACAAAAAUAAUGAUUAUAAAGUUUGUAUUUGAGCCAUUAUAUAUAUACUUACAAUAAAAGUAAUAAUAUAUUAUAUUCUAAAUAUAGUUAACCACUGCAGUUGGUCGCUUAUAAAUAGAAGUGUGCAUUAUAGGAUGAAACGUACAUCAAGCUGAGGAGAAACAUGGUACACUCUGCAAAGCUAUAUCAUCUUCUUUUACUUGUUUUCUUUUCCUCCUUACUUCCAUCCAUUCUAUUGGCAACAAGACGAGAAGGAGAAGCUCUUGUGAAAUGGAAGAAUAGCCUAGCCCCGUCUUCUUUUCUUGAUUCUUGGUCACUCUCCGAUCUCGAUAAUCUUUGCAACUGGACUGGCAUUACUUGUAACUCUGCAAGUUCAGUGUCUCAGAUAAAUCUUUCCCAAAAACAGCUCGAUGGAACGCUGUCCGAAUUUGGUUUCACUUCAUUUCCGAAUCUCGAAAAUUUGACUAUAAGAGACAACAGCUUCUCCGGGCUAAUACCACCAGGCAUUGCGAAUUUAACACAGCUUCAAUACCUUGAUUUAAGCUACAAUUAUUUCAGUGGUUCCAUUCCGUACGAGGUUAGCCAUCUUCAGAGAUUACGUGUUUUAGACUUGUCGUAUAAUGAAAUGCAGGCUCCAAAGUGGUCUGACUUCUCUCCCAUGCCUUUUAUGAGCAUCCUCAACCUACGGGCCAAUCAUCUUGUGUCGAAAUUCCCAGAAUUUAUAUCCAAUUCUUUUAGCCUGACUUUCCUUGACCUUGGAGACAACAAGUUCACCGCUGAUCAUCUUGUGCUCGAAUCAGAAUUUACCAAUUUGCAAAAUCUUGAAACGCUGUUUCUUGAUGGUAAUUCUUUUGAGGGGACGUUUCCACCGAAUAUAUUCAGGCUUUCUAAAUUAAAAUACCUUUCCCUAUCUGCUAAUAAGUUUUCAGGUUCUGUGCCGGAUGACAUAGGGAUGCUUCGUGAUCUUGAAUCCCUUUAUCUUGGUAACAAUUCUUUCAAAGGGAUGCUUCCACAAAAUAUUUUCAGACUUCCCAAAUUACGGGAUCUUUCCCUCUGGGGUAACAAUUUUUCAGGUCUUAUUUCAGAUGAUAUAAGGAUGCUUUCUAACCUGGAAUCUCUUGAUCUUAAUGGUAAUUCUUUUCAGGGUCCGCUUCCACCAAAUUUCUUCAAGCUUUCCAAAUUAAGACAUCUCGCCCUCUCAAAUAAUAAAAGAGUAUUUAAAGGAAGUAUUCCUCUUGGGUUGGGGCUUUUGACUAACCUUGACUACUUAUGUCUUAAUUCCAAUUAUCUCACUGGCUACAUUCCAUCUGACAUUGGAAAUCUAAAGCUACUAGAACAUCUUGAUCUCAGUUUUAAUCAAUUGACCGGACCGCUCCCAAAGAUCAUUUCUAACCUCACUAAUCUAACGCGUCUUGGUCUGAAUGAUAAUUGGUUUUCCGGCAGUAUUCCAAGUGACUUCUUGGAAAACUCUACAUUAUUAUUUUACAUUGAUCUUUCAAACAAUGAUCUGUCUGGAAGCAUUCCUAAGGAAUUCAACGUUCAUCCGACAUUGGAUUAUAUCAAUUUAAGUGGAAACCGUUUUAGAGGUCUACUUCUCUCUUUAAAUUUUUAUGUUCGUUUUGUAUAUGCUAGUAACCUGAUUAUUACACUUUUACUGAAGCUUCAACAAUUCUAACUGCAGGCAAGCUUCCAGCAACGAUUUGCAAUGCUACAUCCCUUUCGACUCUUGUUCUGUCAAAUAAUGAAUUCAGCAAUGCACUUCCACAUUGUUUGGGGAAUCUUGCUGAUCAACUUCUUUCCAUUAAUCUUGCUAAUAAUUUGUUUCGAGGACCAAUACCAACAACUUUCUCUAAGAGUUGUCGGCUGACAUAUCUAAACAUGUACAACAAUCACUUUGAAGGGUUGUUGCCGCAAUCUCUGGCAAACUGUAAGCACCUACAAAUUCUUGAUAUUGGAAACAAUGAAAUAGGUGGUAAAUUCCCGUCAUGGCUGUUUACUCUUGGAGAGCUGGAAGUCCUAGUCUUGCGAUCAAAUAGAUUCCACGGUCCAGUCAAUGGAACAAGCUCAGCAAAUUUAUUCCCCAAGUUGCGGAUUGUUGAUCUCUCCAACAAUCAAUUUACAGGCGAUUUACCAAUUCAGUAUUUUAAGAAUAUGAAACCAACAGAUAACCACUAUAGUUAUUUUUAUACAGAAAGUGGUUUUUACUAUCAUCAAGCAUCGAUCUCAUUAACUGUGAAAGGAAGAGAGUAUGAAGUGAAAAAGAUCCUUCAUAUUUAUACAGCCAUAGAUGUGUCAUGCAACAAAUUUCAGGGAGAAAUUCCCGAGGUUAUUGGAGAACUUAAAUGGCUUGCAUUGCUCAAUCUAUCACAUAAUAGUCUUAUUGGACCUAUCCCAUCACAGCUCGGAAAUAUGGAAUCACUUUUAUCUCUAGAUUUGUCUUCAAAUCAUUUGACAGGGGGUAUUCCCGAUCAGUUGAUUAGGUUGACAUUUCUAGAGGUCUUGAACCUCUCGGAAAAUCAUCUGACAGGGCCUAUCCCCCAAAAAGGACAGUUCAGCACAUUCAACAAGGAUUCUUACCUAGGUAACUUUGCCUUGUGUGGAUUACCUUUAACUAAUAACUGUACACACACUGUGUCACCACCACAAGAAGGCGGAACUGGUGACAAUGAUGCCUAUGAUGAACCCGAUUGGGAAGUGAUCCUCAUGGGAUAUGGAUGUGGACUAAUAUGCGGAUUGUCCACAGGGUACGUUGUCUUCACAUUCAGAAAGCCUCAGUGGUUUAUGAGAUACACUGAAAGCGUGCAACAGAAGUUGAUGAGAUGAUGCAUGUUGAGUACCGUUCAAUCAUGAAGCACAACUGGAAACAAUGUUAUCUUAGGAAAACAUGUGUUCUGAACCAGUAGUGUUUGCACAAAAUUUGUGGUGCUAUGUAAUACUUAUAUAAUUGUACGUAUGAUUAUUGAUUAGUCGUUGAGAAAAUGCAUUUUAUUUCAGUGUCAAUGAUAAUCUACAUGUUUUGGAUACUUCCAGCUUCUCAUACUAAUAUAGGAACCACUUGAAAAAUUUUGGACAGGCUCUGAGGAUGCUAAUGCUGCUGUUUAGUUUCUACCGCGGAAUUGACUUUAGCAUAUACUCGUAUGACAUAUUACUAGAUAUAUGGUUGUUAAAUAAAAUUAUCUUUUUGUGGAAUAAAUAGGAAAGCAAAAUCAUAGAAUAAUGUAUGUUAUAUAGGAAGGUAUUGUCCUCUUAGAUAGGUAUCAUUUAUGCCUCAUUGGCAUGUCUCAGAAAACUUUUGGGUUAACACAAUGUUUACUUAGAGCAUUGCCAUUCCUUAAAUAUAAUAUAAAAUAUUGGAUCUUAGUGACUUAAGAUGAUAAUAGCUAUUCGCACCUCCAACAAUAUUCCUUAUAUUCAUUCCUUAUAUACUAUUUUAUUAUUAAAAGUUACCAUUAUUGCAAUAGGUGAAAAGAGAGAACAUGUUUGUAUUCAAAAUUUAUUGUAAAAUAAUAUUUAGGAGAGGAGAGAGGUUACCUAAAGAUAAGGCAUGGCUAGUUAUUUAGAGAAUCACUAGGAUACUGUUGGAGUGGAUUAUUUUCCCAUAUUACUCAUAUUUUGGUUUAAGAUUCCUAAUAGGGAAGCUGCUGGAGUUGCUCUUAGAGCAUCUCCAAGAGAUUCUUCAUUUAAGCUCCUAACUUGAGAUUUGAGUAGGGAGAGGAAAAAUGUUGCUCCAAGAGACUCUUAAGUGGCUCUUAAAUCACUAAGAGCCUCUUGUUUCUCUCUCCUCUCUCCUCAAAGUUAAGAGCCACCACAUUGCUCCUAACUUAUUUUUUCACAAUAAAAAAAUCUUUUCCUCCAAUUCAGCUCCAUCUUUCCAUCUCUUUUGUUAUAGUGGAGCCCAAUAUAUGAAUAAAAUAUGAAAUAGAGAAGAGAUGUAGAGAGUAUUGUUGGAGUUUACACUCUUAACUUUGUCUUAAAUUGCUAAGAGCUAUUUUUUUAUAUUAUAUUUAGGAGCCAAUAAGGAGGCUCUUGGAGAUGCUUUUAGUACUAAUUGUUAGAAUAUGAAAAUGCAGUUAUGAACUAUUAUGCUAGAGAGAGAAAAAUUCAACAAACUUCAUUUCUGUAAACUACAACUAUUAGUCUGUUACAUUGCUGAAAGCUACAUUUAUACAUUUACAGUUUACAACAAACUAUGAAACUGAUUUUCCCGCGUCCUCCUCACUUGUCCACGUGGCCUGACUGGCUUGGUGUCCUUGACACUCUUUAUUAUUGCUAAUAUAUACUUAACACUAAUACCUCAAAGCAGGGUAUAAAUUCAAUAGCACAGCUUCUGGAUAAUGGAAAUUUAGUUAUCCAGAGGUCUUGGUUUUACAUAUCACUUGUAUAUUAUGUCUCGGUCUCAUUGAAGCAUACCAAACGAGAUUUUGGGUUUGUUAAUAUUUUUUUAGUCCAAAUUUGAAUAAUACUGUUAUGCUUAUUCACACGGUAGACGUGUUUUUAUUAAAAUACUGCAACUGAAAUUGAUGAAAACAUGCACAAAGCAUAGCAGACGAAAGACUUGAGGAGAUAUUGUCUUAGGCGAUGCAAUACGUUCUAAUAUAAUGCUAUAUUAUGCAAUCUCGUUUAAUACUUUCAUCAUUAUUCUCCAAGAUGUCUGAACAUGUAUUUUCAAAGAAUUCUCAGUUCACCUUUAGUCUUAUAGCGACAUUUUGAAGGCACUCUCAACUUACACCCUAUAUAUACACGUACGGUUCACUUCAGUACAAAGAUUUUAUGAUACAACUCUCAUAUUAUGAACUAGUUCUGUCGAAUACAUGAAUAUUGAUCAAUCAUUUGAACUCGAGUUUCCCAGCUGGCCAGAUACCCAGAUUAUUAGCCAUGCAAAACAUGCAGAACCACUAGUAAUGCAGAAAAACAAUAUAUUAGUUUUCUCCGGUGUUACAGAAAUCAGGAAUCGGACCUAAUCGGUUUAGCUACCGAUUUAGGGAUUAAUAGGAAAUAGGGGAUUAAUCGGAGUGAAAAUCGGAUUUAUUUUAAUAUUAAAAUAUUAUUUAAUAUUUAGUUAUUAUUAUAUUAGCUAUUUAGUAACUAAUAUAUUUACUAUAUUCAUAAACUCUAUAAUUAUUCGUAUUGAAAGUAAUAUAGUAUUUUAAUUUUAAUAAUUUACUAUAUAUACUUCGAUUAAGAAAUAUAUAUAUAAGGAUUAAUCGGAUUUCAAAAAUCGAAUCGGUGGCCAACCUUGCAGAGGAUUAAUCGGGGAUUAAUUGGUUGAAUCGGGGAUGUUUAGAACACUGGUUUUCUCCAAAUAUCACUACAACAAAACUGCCAUUUUACGACGGAAAUCUAAUAUUCUAAAGGGUUACGACCAAACUAUGUCGGUGGACUUUAUUUUAAUUUACCGUUUAACAGUAGUUAAUUUUGGAUAUCUACACUUGCGAUGGAAAACAUACGACAGUCUACUUCGUGAGAGAAAAUCAUUUUAUUUUAUUUUUUAGCGCCAGAAUUUUAAUACUGAAAUAUUAUAUAUAUGAAGGAAACUGAUCUCUAAUGUUUUCAGCUUGCUCAUCCAUCGUAAGUAAUCCGUCGAAAAAGUUAGUUUGUUGUGGUGGUGUCUUAUCAUGAGAGAAAAUGAUAAUAUCGCAAAAUAUUUGCAACUGAAAGAUAAAUUAUAAUUCUAGAAACCAUUUAGGUAACGAUGCACGAAGUUAUUUUCACUCACUUAGAAUUAAUGNUGAAAACAUGCACAAAGCAUAGCAGACGAAAGACUUGAGGAGAUAUUGUCUUAGGCGAUGCAAUACGUUCUAAUAUAAUGCUAUAUUAUGCAAUCUCGUUUAAUACUUUCAUCAUUAUUCUCCAAGAUGUCUGAACAUGUAUUUUCAAAGAAUUCUCAGUUCACCUUUAGUCUUAUAGCGACAUUUUGAAGGCACUCUCAACUUACACCCUAUAUAUACACGUACGGUUCACUUCAGUACAAAGAUUUUAUGAUACAACUCUCAUAUUAUGAACUAGUUCUGUCGAAUACAUGAAUAUUGAUCAAUCAUUUGAACUCGAGUUUCCCAGCUGGCCAGAUACCCAGAUUAUUAGCCAUGCAAAACAUGCAGAACCACUAGUAAUGCAGAAAAACAAUAUAUUAGUUUUCUCCGGUGUUACAGAAAUCAGGAAUCGGACCUAAUCGGUUUAGCUACCGAUUUAGGGAUUAAUAGGAAAUAGGGGAUUAAUCGGAGUGAAAAUCGGAUUUAUUUUAAUAUUAAAAUAUUAUUUAAUAUUUAGUUAUUAUUAUAUUAGCUAUUUAGUAACUAAUAUAUUUACUAUAUUCAUAAACUCUAUAAUUAUUCGUAUUGAAAGUAAUAUAGUAUUUUAAUUUUAAUAAUUUACUAUAUAUACUUCGAUUAAGAAAUAUAUAUAUAAGGAUUAAUCGGAUUUCAAAAAUCGAAUCGGUGGCCAACCUUGCAGAGGAUUAAUCGGGGAUUAAUUGGUUGAAUCGGGGAUGUUUAGAACACUGGUUUUCUCCAAAUAUCACUACAACAAAACUGCCAUUUUACGACGGAAAUCUAAUAUUCUAAAGGGUUACGACCAAACUAUGUCGGUGGACUUUAUUUUAAUUUACCGUUUAACAGUAGUUAAUUUUGGAUAUCUACACUUGCGAUGGAAAACAUACGACAGUCUACUUCGUGAGAGAAAAUCAUUUUAUUUUAUUUUUUAGCGCCAGAAUUUUAAUACUGAAAUAUUAUAUAUAUGAAGGAAACUGAUCUCUAAUGUUUUCAGUUUGCUCAUCCAUCGUAAGUAAUCCGUCGAAAAAGUUAGUUUGUUGUGGUGGUGUCUUAUCAUGAGAGAAAAUGAUAAUAUCGCAAAAUAUUUGCAACUGAAAGAUAAAUUAUAAUUCUAGAAACCAUUUUGGUAACGAUGCACGAAGUUAUUUUCACUCACUUAGAAUUAAUGCUAAAUAUUUGCAACUGAAAGAUAAAUUAUAAUUCUAGAAACCAUUUAGGUAACGAUGAGCGGAGUUAUUUUCACUCACUUAGAAUUAAUGAUAAAUAUUUGCAACUGAAAGAUACAUCAUAGUUCUAGAAAAGGAUCCACGAAGUUAUUUUCACUCACUUAGAAUUAAUUGUAAGUUAUUGUGAGUUUUUGAAUAUGAAUUAUCUCAAAUUUUAUUAAAACACAUGUUGAUUCUUAUAUACAAAUUUGCCUAUCUAAUAUUAUAAUAUUUAUGGAGAAGGUGUAUGAACAAUUGUGUAGAUAAUUAUACUUUACAAAGCAUACUUCUGCUAGCUGAAUUUUGAUUAAAAAAAUCGAAAGGGAUAGGUCUGGGUCUCUCCAAGUCUUUGAGGACUCAUUCCAAGUCUUCUGAUGAGGACAAAAUAUAUUGCUGGAAGUCUUUCAGUCCUUCCUAGAGUAUUUUGUGCUCUGCACUGCAUUAUGCAGCUCUCAUAUAACUGACCGCUAACCUCCUUCCAACACUUUGCGAUGCAAAACAGUGGCAUGUUAUAAGUAUUUCCGUAUGUGUAUUUAUUUGGAUAUUAAAGUUGCGUAACAUUUGUGUUGAUAAUUUGCGCAAUGUUGAUGAGGAUUGCUCCCAAGUCUUGGCGGACUCUUUCCAAAUCUUCUGAGGACCUAUGGGUUCAAAUUAGUCCAUUAAAAUGAAUACCAUUGUUUUGUGAUUAAGUUGUAUGGUUAAGAGCUUAUCCUCUGUCGUCCCAGGUCCUGGGUUCGACCCUGGCUCACCCCGAGAGUUUCGUAGAACAGAUACUCAUUAUAAGGCUAUAAGCCAUAUUUGUCAAAAAAAAAGUUGUAUAGGCAAUAUGCAUUGCAAAAUCAGCAACAGAAUAUAUACUAAUUAAUUACCUGAUAUCGGUUUGAACAAAUACUUUCUAUGUAGUUGUAAUAUUAGUCUUCUUUAAAAGUUAUCAUGAGGGAAGAUAUAUAUUGUGAUGCGGGGGAAAUAUUGUAACCGAAAAUAAUUAUAAUUCUAAAAAUUUCCAUUAUACACUUUUUUUAGUGUUCGUACGUGGUAAGUACUUCAGACGACAUUUCUCGCGUAUGCCUCCAAUUAAGAAUUUGAUGUUCAGCCUAGUCCUAAACUAAAAUUAUUAUAAAUGUGUAAUUCAAAAUUAUAUUGCUGGUAGGCUCUGAGAUUAACCUUAAACAAAAACAACUCAGUGGAACGCUUUCCGAGUUUGGUUUCACUUCAUUUCCAAAUCUCAACAAUCUCAACAUAGCACGAAACAACUUUUACGGUCCAAUACCACCAGCCAUUAAGAAUUCUAUUUUAAUAUGUAACAUUCUAUUUUCUAAAAUAAUAAAUAUUUUUUUUAAUAGUUGGUCAAAAAUUAGUCAAUUUGACUUCUCAAAAAGCAGAAAGGACAUGUAAAUUGAGACGGGGGAGUAUUUAACGGAAUUCAACGAAAGGUGUGCGUAUCGUUCUUGAAAUGUAAAAAUAGGUGGUGCAAUUCGAGUUUCCAAACCUAUGGGUACAAUAUCGUUUUUAAACGUAAGCUAGGGGGUCCAAAUUACAAUUACAUGUAUAUAUAGUGACUUAACGGAGUGCAUAUAGUUAACGGAAGUUAACGGCAGGGAGUGCAUCUCGGGCUUGAAUAGUAAAGAUAAAAGGUGCGAGUUGAGUUUCUCAAAGUAUGAGUACAAUAUCGUUUUUGAAUGAUAGUUAAGGGGUGCGAUAUGCAAUUACCUCAAAAAAAUAUGAUCAUUAGUAUAUUAUAUUAGUAUCCACACACUUAUAUCUCAAAAUCUAUCCUCCAAAAUUAUCAUCUAUAUAGGCUAGCCACAUAAAAUAAAAAUUUAAAGAUAUUAGAUAUUUAGUUAUUUCAAUUAUAUAAUUUUUCCACGCAAAAUAACAAAAUAUCUUUAUCAACUUAUUAUUUAUGAGUUAAAUAUUCAACUUAUAUAAUUCGGGCAUGCUGGGUAUAAAUAGAAGUGUAACGCCUAAUUUCCGGGGUCUGGGAGUAGUUAGCGGGGUAUGAGAGAGCAGGCUAUUUAGAAGUCUUGGUCAUGAAAACUUCCAAGCUAACUUCGACAACGGAAUCUUCUGAGGCUACUAUUCUAAAGCACGCAUAAUCAUUGUAUUCAUUUUCCUCUAACACUGGCAAAAAGUCUAUUUAAGCAAAUGAAAUACAAACAACUGAGUGGAAUGCUGACCGAAAGUCUUUUUGGCUGAGCUUAUGAUUUAUUAGUACAUGAUUAAUAUGAUAAGCUAAGCUGAGAGCAUAAGAUAUCGUGUGUAUAAUUUUGUGUUUAUUAAUGACUUAUAAAUUAUUAAAAAUAUAAUAAGAAAAAUAAAAAUGAUUUAUAACUAAUUUAUGUUUUAUGAGUAAUUUUUAUUAGAAAAAAGUUUUAAAAAAUUAUUUCACUGAAAAAAAAUCCUCCAACUAACUUUUGGCUCUAAGUCAGUUUUUGAUUUAUUUAUGAUUUUAAGUCGGAUUCUGAUUUUUACACAAACAGAAAAUUUCCAGCUUAAAGUUAAAAACAACUUUAAGCUCCGGUUUUAAACCUCUGAGUUUGGUUUCACUUCAUUUACAAAUCUCAACAAUUUCACCAUCAAACACAAUGACUUCUCCAAUCUCCGGUCCAGUUCACCAGCCAUUGAGAAUUUGGCACAACUUCAAUUCCAUACCAGGUUAGUCGGCUUCGGAGGUUACACGCCUUAGACCUGUCAAAUACAAAUUUCAAUCUCCAAACUGGUCCGAUUUAUCUUCUAUGCAUUUUGUUGAGUCCGGCUCAUCUAAAACCUGAAGGUGUUAGAAGAAACCCGAAUGAAUCUUAUAUAUGAAUCUUAUAUAUGCUAUAUUUAAACAAUUCUGAGCACACUCAACCUUGGUAUUAAUAAUAUCGUGUCGAUAAUUCCAGAAUUUAUAUCUAAUUCUCAUAGCCUAACUUUCCUUGACCUUUCCAUAUAACAAAUUUACAGUUAAUCCUGUGCUUGAAUCAGUAUUUGCAACCAAAAUUAUGCAAUUAUAGUGCAGGUAGUCUUCCAGUUCUUCCUACUCUAUGCUAUAAUUUCAUUUGAUACCAAUAAUUUUACGCUCUACACUCCAGGAUGAGCUCGCAUAUUAUUGACAGCAAUAAUCCUUCCAACACUUUGUGAUGCAAAGCAGGGGGGCGCCUGUAUUUUCAUAUGUCUAUAUUAUUGGAGAUUAAAGUUGUGUGGACAAUUGUGUUGAUAAUUUGCCCAAUGUUAACAGGGAUAGGUUGGCUUAAAAAUAUAUAAGGUCACUUGUGCAUCGCUGUUCACACACUUAGACCCUGUUUGUGUAAGCUUUAAGUCCGGGCUCAAGCAAUUUCGACUUAAUCACUUCCGAGGACCAAUACCAACAGCCUUCUCAAAGAGUUGCCAGCUAAGAUAUCUAAACAUGUAUGACAAUCAGUUAGAAGGACUAUUGCCCCGAUCUUUGUCAAACUGUAAGCACUUAAAAAUUCUUGACAUCGGGAACAAUAAAAUGGGUGGUACAUUCCCUUCAUGGCUAUUUAAUCUCGGAGAGCUAGAAAUCCUAGUCUUGCGAUCAAAUAGACUGUACGGUCCUGUAAGUGGAAGGAGCACAUCACAUCCAUUCCCCAAGUUGCGGAUUCUAGAUCUCUCCAACAAACAAUUCGCGGGCUAUUUGCCAAUUCUAAACUUUAAGAAUAUGAAACCAGCUGCUGAUGAUAACGCGUAUAGUUAUAAAAAUAAGUCACAAGGACUAAUUAAUUACAUCUAUGAAGCAUCUAUCUCCUUAAAUGUGAAAGGAACAGAGUAUGAAGUGAAGAACAUUCUUCAUAUUUACACAGCCAUUGAUCUAUCGUGCAACAAAUUUCACGGAGAAGUUCCAAAGAGAGCUUAAAUGGCUUGCAUUGCUCAAUCUAUCUCAUAAUAGUCUUGCCGGACAUAUGUUCUGAAUUAUUAUUAUGCUUUCAUCAAUAUUUUCAAACAUUUCUCAAUAUGUAUUUCAAAGAAUUCUCAAGCCCUGGAACAUUUGGACCGGUCCUUUCGAAGCCAAGAUGCCCAGGUUAUCAUGGCCAUGCACAAAAAUGAAUAAAUUAUUCCAAGUCUUCCAUGACUCAUUCCAAGUCUUCGGAGGAGACCCUGAGCACAAAGAUGCUCAGGGUCUCCCCAAGCCUUCCAGGACUCAUUCCAAGUCUUCGGAGCACGGCCUCGACUCGCCCUUUCAAAGAUGUGAUAGUAGCUCGAGAGUGAUAUAAAUUAUUUUCCGGACACUAAAAAUAAAUAAUCAGAUCAAAUUAAUCAAUAAUAAAUUAAGGAUGAAAUCCAAAUUAAUCCUAAAUUUUGAUAAUAUAUAAAAAUUAUAAUUAUAAAUUAUAUAACCAAAUCAGAAUUGAAUUAACUUCCUUGGCACUAAAUUGAUAAGGAAAGUAUAAUAAUUUAAAUUUAAUUGAUGAAAAGUCAAAGUCUUCUAAUAAAUCCAUAAAGAAUAUGAUAAUCAAAAUAACGAAAAUUAUAAUUGAAAAAUCAAAAUCAUUAGUGUAUUGGAAUAGUGUUCACACACUUAUAUAUCAAAAUUUGUGGUCCAAAAACUAUAGCACAAUAUCCUAAAUACACCACAUUAAAUAUUAGUUCAAAAAUAUUCUGUAAAUAAUUGUUUUCAUUCAUCAUUUUGUUAUUUAAAAAACUAAUAAUUUGGGUUGAUGUUAACCUAUAUUUUAAUAUAUAAUUAUAUUAUUUUCGUAUUAUUUUAUUUAACUAGAAACAAUAUUUUUAUCAGACAUCAAUUAUAUUAAAAGAUAUAAUUUUAUUAAAAAAAAUUGAAUUAAAUUAAUAGGAUAACUCUACGCCUCACCAAGUCUACAAGACUCAUUUCAAGUCUACCAAGGACCACUACCUCGGUCCUCAACCAUUGGGAGAUGUGAAAGUAGCUUGAGAGUGACAAAAAUUAUUUUCCUCACAAUAAAAUUUAAUAUCUGAUAUAAAUUAAUUAAAUUAGUUAAUAAUAAAUUAAAACUAAUCAUGAAUUAUGAUAAUAAUUAAAUAAAUUAUAAUUAAAUUAUAUAAAUCAACUCCAAAUGAUACAAAUGACACUAAACCUUAGUUACUUUAUUGGUAAAUAAAUAUAAUAUAAUAAUCAAAUUGAUGAAAAAUCAAAAUCAUCUAAUAAAUUCAUAAAAAAUAUAUGAUCAUUAAUAUAUAUUAUAUUAGUAUCCACACACUUAUAUUUCAAAAUCUAUCCUCCAAACUUAUCAUCUCUGUAAACUAGCCACAUAAAAUAAAAAUUUAAAGAUAUUAGAUAUUUAGUUAUUUUCAUUAUAUAAUUUUUCCACACUAAACAACAAAAUAUCUUUAUCAAAUUAGUAUUUAUGAGUUAAAUAUUCAAGUUAUAAAUCCAGCAUGCAGCGUAUAAAUAGGAGAAACAUGGCACACUCUGCAAAGCCUUCUCACCUUCUUCUCUUUGUUUUCUUUCUCUCAUCACUUGAAUCCAUUCUUGCAACAACACGAGAAGGAGAAGCUCUUGUGAAAUGGAAGAAUAGCCUAGCCCCGUCUUCUUUUCUUGAUUCUUGGUCACUCACUCAUCUCGAUAAUCUUUGUAACUGGACUGGCAUUACUUGUAACUCUGCAGGUUCAGUCUCUGAGAUUUACCUUUAUGAGAAACAACUUGAUGGAAUGUUGUCGGAGUUUGGUUUCACUUCAUUUCCAAAUCUCAACAAUCUCACCCUCGCAUACAACUUCUUCUCCGGUCCAAUACCACCAGCCAUUGAGAAUUUAACACAGCUUCAAUAUCUUGAUUUGAGAAAUAAUUAUCUAGAUGGUCCCAUUCCUUUCCAGGUUAGCCAUCUUCAGAGCUUGCUCAUCUUAAACCUGUCAGAGAAUGCAUUGCAAGCUCCAAAUUGGUCCCAUUUCUCUCCCAUGCCUUUUUUGCGCAUCCUCAACCUCAGUCACAAUCCUCUUGCGUCGAAAUUCCCAGAUUUUAUAUCCAAUUCUCAUAGCCUGACUCACCUUAGCCUUAAUUAUAACGAGUUUACUGGUGAUUUAGCACGUGAAUCAAUAUUUGCCAAUCUGCAUAAUCUUGAAGUCCUCAGUCUUAAUGGCAAUUCUUUUGAGGGGCCAUUUCCACCAGAUAUAUUCAAGCUUUCAAGAUUAAAACGUCUCUUCCUGGCAGUUAACAAAUUUUCAGGUUCAAUUCCCAAUGACAUAAGGUUACUUUGUGAUCUUGAAUACCUAUAUUUAGGCAACAAUUCUUUUGAAGGACCGCUUCCACCAAAUUUAUUCAAGCUUUCGAAAUUAAAGCGUCUUUUUCUUUGGAGUAAUAAGUUUACAGGUUCUAUUUCCAAUGAUAUAGGUUUGCUUUCUGAACUUGAAACCCUCAAUCUUCAAUUUAAUUUUUUUGAGGGGCCGCUUCCCCCACAUAUAUUUAGGCUCUCUAAGUUAACAGGUCUAGAACUCGGAGACAAUAGAAAUUUAUUUGAAGGAAGUAAUAUUCCUAUCGGACUGGGACUCUUGACUAACCUCAGGUACUUAGAUUUACAUUUCAGUAAUCUCAGUGGCUAUAUUCCAUCUGACAUUGGAAACCUGAAGCUACUAGUACUUCUUAGUCUCGGUUCUAAUCAAUUGACUGGACCGCUUUCAAAGAUCGUUUCUAAUCUCACAAAUCUUAUAUUCCUUGAUGUAAGUGAUAAUAGUCUUAGUGGAAAUAUUCAGAGUGACUUGUGGAAAUAUAACCAUCAUCCUACUUUGGAAUACAUCGAUUUUAGUGGGAACCAUUUUACAGGUAUAUUUUUUCUCUAUAGAUCUUUUCCUUUUGUCAUAUGUAACUAAGCUAGUAAUCUGAUUAUUGCAGUUUUACCGAAGUUUCAACAAUCUUGACAGGUGAGCUUCCAACAACAAUUUGCAAUGUCACUUCCCUUUCGGUUCUUGAUUUGUCAAAUAAUGAAUUAAGUGGUGCACUUCCAAACUGUUUCGGGAAUCUUGCUGAUGGAUUGCUUUACAUUAAUCUUGCUAAUAAUCAGUUUCGAGGAACAAUACCAACUACUUUCUCCAGGAGUUGUCAGCUGACAUAUCUAAACAUGGAUAAUAAUGAGUUUGAAGGAUUGUUGCCCCCAUCUUUGGCGAACUGUAAGCACUUGAAAAUUCUUGAUAUAGGCAAUAAUAAAAUAGGUGGUACAUUUCCGUCAUGGCUUUAUGCACUUGGAGAGCUAGAAGUUCUUGUCUUGCGAUCAAAUAAACUCUAUGGUACAAUAAGUGGAAGGAGCAUAGAAGAUCCCUUCCCCAAGUUGCGGAUUGUGGAUCUGUCCAACAAUCAAUUCACAGGCCAUUUGCCAAUUCAAUACUUUAAGAAUAUGAAAUCAACUGAUAAUUUGUAUCGUUAUCAGAAUUCCACAAAAGUUUUUUCUUUCCAUUAUGAAGCAUCUGUCUCAUUAACUGUGAAGGGAACAGAGUAUGAAGUGAAAAAUAUCCUUCAUAUUUACACAGCCAUUGAUCUGUCCUGCAACAAGUUUCAAGGAGAAAUUCCUGACGUUAUUGGAGAGCUUAGAUGGCUUGCAUUGCUCAACUUAUCUCAUAAUAGUCUAACAGGACCUAUCCCAUCAUUGCUGAGAAAUAUGAAAGGACUCCAAUCUUUAGAUUUGUCUUCAAAUCAACUGACAGGGGCUAUUCCACCUCAGUUAACUGCACUGACAUUUCUAGAGGUCUUAAACCUCUCGGGAAACCAUCUUAGUGGAGGGAUUCCUCAGAAAGGACAGUUCAGCACAUUCAACAAUGAUUCUUAUCUAGGAAACUCAGCGUUAUGUGGAUCACCAUUGACGAAGAAAUGUGCAAACACAGCAUCACCUCCACAAGAAGUCGGAAAUGUUGAUGAAGAUGAUGCGGGUGAUGAAUUGACAUGGGAAGCAAUCUUGAUGGGAUAUGGAUGUGGACUGAUAUGUGGAUUGUCAUCUGCGUACAUUGUUCUCAAACUAGGAAAGCCUUGGUGGUUUGUGAGAUAUAUCGAAGUACUGCAAUUGAAGUUGAUGAAAAGAUAUGCAUGAAGAAUGGUACUAGCCGAUCAAGAUGAACUCGAAAGUUGUGGUCCUUGUGGACAUUUCUGAACCAGUAGUGUUCUAUUCUCUUUGUGGCUGCAUAAGUAUUUGGUAUUGUGUAAUGUUCUGUUUGGUCUUGAAUCAUAAUAAUUUUUCUUUCUUCAGGGGUAUUUAUAAUAUAAACCUUGGUAUUGUGUACUAGCUGUAAUAUUCUGUUUGAUCAAUGUUUAUACCAGUAAUUUUAUGCUCCGCACUGCAUCAUGCAGCUCUCAUAUUAUCUUCAUAUGUGUAUUUAUUUGGAUAUUAAAAACAUAUGGGAUAUGUGUUAACAGGGACAGCUCCCAAGUCUUGGAUAGACUCUUUCCAAGUCUUCCGAGGUCCUAUAGGUUUAAAUUAGUCCAUUAUCUGCAUACUAAUUUGUCCAACUGAAAAAUCAAGGAUAUUAUGUAUUAACUGUUUUAAUAACAAUUUACAAGUAUAAAUUUCAUAUAUUUUUUCAUAGAAUAUAAAUUAGUUGACGUACUAAAAUCACUAGUCAAAUUAAUUUAAAUAAAUAUAUUGAAAAGAUGAUAAUAAAAUUAUGGUAAUUUAUCACUACAACAAUUCUGGACAUUAAUUAUAUGUAUACUUAAAUAUAUUGAAAAGAUGAUAAUAUAGUAGAAUACAAAUGGUUAUGAUUCCGUAGUAACUACACCGUCGUAAGUUCACAUAAUUAUAUAAUUAUAGUUAUUUGAAAACGAAAAAUAAAUGAGAAAAUAUAUAGUGACCAAAUAUGAAUCAAUCUAAAAUUUUCAUUAUGGAGAUCGUAAGAAACGUGAUGAAGAACUGGAAUGAGAAUUCCUUACAAAACAUUUGGGUUAUAUUAUCAAUGAUGAAUGUUGUAUAUUAUACCUAUGAUUUCAAGUCUCAUACAAAAUUAUAUUGCUCAUAGUCUUUCGAUCAGUUCUUACUAGUGUAUGCAAUAGUUUCUCAUUCCAUACCAGUUAUUUUAUGCUCUGCACUGCCUUAUGCGCGCAGCUAUCAUAUUACUGACAGCUAACCUCCUUCCAACACUUUGCCAUGCGAAGCCUGAAGAUUAAAGUUAACAGGGAUAGGUCUUCUUCUCUCCCAAGUCUUGGACGGACUCUUUCCAAGUCUUCUGAGGACCCAUCGGCUCAGAUCCGUCCAUUAAAAAUUUAUUAUUGAUUACUUAUUAUUAUUGAUUGAUCUAAGAUUCCAAAGACAUGUUCCCGUAAUUUUCAGACUUAGCCAGUUGGUGUGGGCAGAAGUUUUAGAAAUAGUAGAUUAUGGGGAUUUUAUUUAUUCUAACCAAUUUUGAGUUAUUUAUUUUCUUCAAAAAAAUCAAUACUUAUUUUUUAUUGUUAUGCGGAAUUCCAAUAAAUAUUAAAAUAUAUAAUUUUGAUUAUUAUCAUAAAUUUAUUUAUUCAAUAAAUAUUAUUAUACUAUUAUGGAAACAUUUUAUUUUGUAAUGUAUAGUACACCCUUAUCCCACCAACAAAACUACAUCACAAACAAAUUAUAUCAUAUUUAAUUUAAUAAACUCAAAUAAUUUAAUUUAUGUAACAACUCUAUAAAAUUAGAGUGAUUGAUACUUUGCACCCCUUAUGUUUAAGCGUUUUUUCAAUUUGGUUUCAAACAAUUUUUUUGGCAGUAUGCACCCCAAAAUUUGAAAAUUGCUUCGCUUUGCACCCUUUUAAUCGCUCUCCGUUUAAUUGAUAUUGACCGUUAAAGACUUAAAGUUGACAGAUAUGGGUUUACAUUUUCAACACCACAAUUUUAAUUUUUUUUCAUGGGUAUUUUGAAAUAUUCAGACGACUGGGAUGAUUCAAGUGUCUUCAUGUUAGACAGUGCGAUAGGUCGGUCGAGGGGUUUUCAGAAACUGGGACCAAAGAUUGGCGCCAUCAGAUUGGAUUUAUAUCAUUGGAAACUCUCUGUACACCUCUAUAGAAACUGGGACCAAAGACAAGAGGGAGAAGCUCUUGUGAAAUGGAAGAAUAGCCUAGCCCCGUCUUCUUCUCUCGACUCUUGGUCCCUCACCAAUCUCGAUAAUCUUUGUAACUGGACUGGCAUUAAUUGUAACUCUGCAGGUUCAGUCUCUGAGAUUAACCUUUGUGAGAAACAACUUGAUGUAAUGCUGUCUGAGUUUGGUUUCACUUCAUUUCCAAAUCUCAACAAUCUCACCCUCGCAGCUAACUACUUCUCCGGUCCAAUACCACCAGCCAUUGAGAAUUUAACACAGCUUCAAUAUCUUGAUUUGAGAAAUAAUUAUCUAGAUGGUCCAUUCCGUUCCAGGUUAGCCAUCUUCAGAGCUUGCUCAUCUUAAACCUGUCACAGAAUGCAUUGCAAGCUCCAAAUUGGUCCGAUUUCUCUCCCAUGCCUUUCUUGCGCAUCCUCAACCUCAGUAGCAAACCUCCUGCGUCGAAAUUCCCAGAUUUUAUAUCCAGUUCUAAUAGCCUGACUCACCUUAGCCUUAAUUAUAACGAGUUUACUGGUGAUUUGGUACGUGAAUCAGUAUUUGCCGAUCUGCAUAAUCUUGAAAAGCUCAGUCUUGUUGGCAAUUCUUUCGAGGGGCCAUUUCCGCCAGAUAUAUUCAGGCUUUCCAAAUUAAAACAUCUUAGCCUGUCAGAUAACAAACUUUCAGGUUCAAUUCCCAAUGACAUAGGGUUGCUUUUUGAUCUUGAAUACCUAUAUUUAGCCAACAAUUCCUUUGAAGGACCGCUUCCACCAAAAAUAUUCAAGCUUUCAAAAUUAAAAAAUCUUGUUAUUUGGGGUAAUAAGUUUUCAGGUUCUGUUUCCAACGAUAUAGGUUUGCUUUCUGAGCUUGAAAGCCUCUAUCUUGACUCCAAUUUUUUUGAGGGGCCGCUUCCGUCAAAUAUAUUCAAGCUCUCCAAAUUAAGGAUUCUUUUCCUUUGGCAUAAUAACUUUUCAGGUUCUAUUUCUAAGGAUAUAGGUUUGCUUUCUGGACUUGAAACCCUCUAUCUUGACUCUACUUUUUUUGAGGGUCCGCUUCCCCCACAUAUAUUCAAGCUUUCCAAAUUAACAAGUCUUGACCUCGCAUACAAUAGAAAUUUAUUUGAAGGAAGUAUUCCUAUUGGACUGGGACUCUUGACUAACCUCAGAUACUUGAGUCUAUCUUCCACUAAUCUCGGUGGCUAUAUUCCAUCUGAAAUUGGAAACCUGAAGCUACUAGAAGUUCUUGAACUCAGUUCUAAUCAAUUGAAUGGACCGCUUUCAAAGAUCAUUUCUAAUCUCACAAAUCUCACAGUUCUUGAUGUAAAUGAUAAUAGUCUUCGUGGAAAUAUUCAGAGUGACUUGUGGAAAUAUGACGAUCAUCCAACUUUGGAAUACAUCGAUUUAAGUGGGAACCAUUUUACGGGUAUAGUUUUUCUCUAUAGAUCUUUUCCUAAUCUCAUAUGUAACUAAGCUAGUAAUCUGAUUAUUGCAGUUUCACCAAAGUUUCAACAAUCUUGACAGGUGAGCUUCCAACAACAAUUUGCAAUGUCACUUCCCUUUUGGUUCUUGAUUUGUCAAAUAAUGAAUUAAUUAGUGGUGCACUUCCAAACUGUUUCGGGAAUCUUGCUGAUAGAUUGCUUUUCAUUAAUCUUGCUAAUAAUCAGUUUCUCCAGGAGUUGUCAGCUGACAUAUCUAAACAUGGAUAAUAAUGAGUUUGAAGGAUUGUUACCCCCAUCUUUGGCGAACUGUAAGCACUUCAAAAUUCUUGAUAUUGGCAAUAAUAAAAUAGGUGGUGCAUUUCCGUCAUGGCUUUAUGUACUUGGAGAGCUGGAAGUCCUUGUCUUGCGAUCAAAUAAACUCUAUGGUACAAUAAGUGGAAGGAGCAUAGAAGAUCCCUUCCCCAAGUUGCGGAUUGUGGAUCUGUCCAACAAUCAAUUCACAGGCCAUUUGCCAAUUCAAUACUUUAAGAAUAUGAAAUCAACUGAUAAUUUGUAUCGUUAUCAGAAUGACACAGGAGAUAUUUCUUUCCAUUAUGAAGCAUCUGUCUCAUUAACUGUGAAGGGAACAGAGUAUGAAGUGAAAAAUAUCCUUCAUAUUUACACAGCCAUUGAUCUGUCCUGCAACAAGUUUCAAGGAGAAAUUCCUGACGUUAUUGGAGAGCUUAGAUGGCUUGCAUUGCUCAACUUAUCUCAUAAUAGUCUAACAGGACCUAUCCCUUCGUUGCUGAGAAAUAUGAAAGGACUCCAAUCUUUAGAUUUGUCUUCAAAUCAACUGACAGGGGCUAUUCCACCUCAAUUAACUGCAUUGACAUUUCUAGAGGUCUUGAACCUCUCGGGAAACCAUCUUAGUGGAGAGAUUCCUCAGAAAGGGCAGUUCAGCACAUUUACAAAUGAUUCUUAUCUAGGAAACUCCGCGUUAUGUGGAUUACCUUUGACGAAGAAAUGUGCAAACACAGCAUCACCUCCACAAGAAGUCGGAAAUGGUGAUGAAGAUGAUGCUUGUGAUGAAUUGACAUGGGAAGCAAU
RNAcentral lists this long non-coding RNA (44803 nucleotides) under Daucus carota (carrot). Its description in RNAcentral is "long non-coding RNA (DCAR_LNC002601)". The record is from RNAcentral. Lineage: Eukaryota; Viridiplantae; Streptophyta; Magnoliopsida; Apiales; Apiaceae.